GUUUUUUGUGGGCAUCCACAUUUGAAGGCCGCAUAAAGCAGAAAGCAACAACAAUUAUAUAUAUGGGAACUGUUCCAAUCUGACUCUCGGAUUGGAACAGUUUCCGGGAUAAAGGCUAGUGGCAUUUGGAUUUAAAUCCAAAGGCCACGAGUGGCUGCAUAUGGUGGAGCCCACCAUAUGCAGCCAACAAAUAAAAAAAACAAAAAACAAAAAACAAAAGAAGCCAUAUGUAGGAUGGCAAAAUCCGGGUCCGGUUCUGGGUUCGGUCUUCUUGGUUCCGGACCCGGAUGUCAUUUUCUUUUUACCGGACCCACAUAUAAUCCGGAUUUUUUACAUGCGGGUCCGGUCCGGGUUCAACCCGGAAAAAUUAAGGGUCCCGAAUUCCGGGUUUGAAACCCGGAUUGUCUUUUGAAUUAUGAUUAAAAAAUGAAAAAAAAAAUUGGAAACUACAAUUCAAUCACAAAUUAAAACCGAUUAACCUUUUUUUCCGUGAAAUUCAGGCAGGUACACAGGAUAGAUCUUAAUAUGAAGGCGUUGCAAAUACUACCAACAAAAUUCAAUAAAUUAAUAACCUAAUAUAGGAAGUGGAUGCACGAAAAUUACAAUUAAUUUUGAAUUGUAAUGGCAUCAAAGACCGUGGCCCACCCAAAUCCACCAUGCAAUGCCAUCAAAGACAGCCCCCACCAUGGAAUAUGACAAACGAGAAGCACAGGCGGGCUUAGAGGUGGAAGCUAAUCCAGGCGAUUUUGCAACAGUUGAGCGAUUGAGAAGGAAUGGUGGUCGCAGCAGUGCAGAGAAGAGGAACACAGCAACUGAUGAUGAUAAUGAACACAGAGAAGAGAAAAUGGCCGAAGUGAUGACGACGACGACUUGAUUUGAUGAAGAGAAAAGGAAAUAUGGUUGGCGGCCGGCGGAUGUGAGAUUUGAGAAGAGGAAUGCGAAUUGCAAAAUUAGGGCCGGCUGUGCGCAUUAUUAUUUCCUUCCUUUCUUUUCUAUUUAUAUUAAAAAUUAUUAAAAAUUUAAUAUUAAAAUGAAAGAUAUCCGGGUCCGGGUUUCGGAUAUGCGGGUUCACCUAAACCCUGACCCGGACCGGAUAUCAUCCGGGUUCAUAAAAUUAAAUCCGGAUCCGCAUUUUAUAUAACUGCAAUACGGGUUCAACCCGGACCGGAUUAUCCGGGUUCGUCCGGGUCCGAUCCGGGUCCGGGUUAUUCUGCCAUCCCUAGCCAUAUGGUAGUUGGAUUUCAAUCCAACGGCCCCUAAGGGUCCCUGUGUAUUUUCGAAAAGUGAUCCAAUUCGAAGCUCCCGAAUUGGAUCACUGUCCCAUAUAUAAAUGUUCUAAUUUAAAAUUUUAAAGUAUAAAAAAGUUUGAAAAAACUUUAAAACUGCAUGAUUUUAAAGGCUUAAAAUAGGAGCCCCCACUGAAAAAAAAAACUCAUUUUUGUUUAAAAGAAAAAUUAAUAAAUUUUUAAAUAAUCCCUGUUAGAUUAUCAAAUAGUCUCGUUCUUUCAGUUUCUACAACCACAUCAGAAAUAACAUUUUCAGCAAUGAAAUUUGUGAAGAAUGAACUUCGCAAUCGGAUAGGAGAUGAAUGGAUAAAUAAUAAUUUGAUUGUUUAUGUAAAAAAAGAUGUAUUUAAUAGUGUUGAUAAUGAAUCUAUUACGCAAUAUUUUCAGAAUAUGAAAUCGCGUAGAGAACAAUUGUAAAUGUGUUAUAAAAAUUUUUAUAUAUUCAAGUUUUAAUUUUUAUAUUUUAUUGUCAUUUAAUUUAACUCCCGAUAAAUUAUUUUUCUAGAUCCGUCACUGCCUGCAGCCCACUUAUUUAGAAGGUGUUCACCCACUUUUACCCAUACUUAGCACAAAAUGGUUGGGCCGUAAGUUACUAGGGUCAUGUUAAGUUACAGUAUAUAAAAUAAAAUGAAAAAGAAAUAGUUGGUGGUGGUGUCGUUUAGUUACUCGAACCCAGAAAGGAACAAAGGUGGUGAUAAUUAGGUCAAAAUCGCAUGCAGAGGCACAUGUGUCGGGCUGAUAAGCUGAGAUGCUUAUACUUUAUGACAUAAUUUUUGUAACCGACGAGUGCUUAUUCGUCGGCGAUGUAAAAUCUGACCGCAUCUUCCGCGACCGUUUCCUGGCGUUUUUUUGUGACAAAACGACAAAUCAACCGAACCAACAUCGCCCUGUUCUACACGCUCGUGCAUGUAGUUAAAAACCACCAGCCUCAGUUAGCAAAAUUUACUAUUAGUCUCUCUUUAUUUAUUUUUUCUUCUUUUUUUCAUAUUACUUCAUUUACAUGUUAAAAUGUGUGCUUUGAAUGAAAGUAAUACAUCACCAAAUGAUCAAUUGUUGUGUGGAUUUUUUUUUUAGAUCUCGACAGUAAUAUGGAAUUUUUCAUUUUGUUAAAGUAAAGGAUAAAUCAAAAGAUAAAGAGAUUCCUUAUAUAAAUAUAUAAUUCUUUUUUAAUGAGGACAUUUUUAAUUUGUUAAAGUGAUGAUAUUAUUAAUAUAUAUAAAAAAUGCAUAUUUUAAUACAUUAGUAAAUAAAAAAUAUAAUAAAAUAUGUGUAUUUUUAUAUUUUAGUGGCAUUAUAUACACACACCUUAAAUAAUGGAAAGUAUUAAUUAAAAUUAUGAUUACACGUUAAUUCCAUAAAAAUCAGAAAACGUGAGUAUACAAAAAUUAGCUUUAGAGAAAUAAUAAUUUAUCCACGUAUUUGCUUUAUUAUGCUUUUUUCUUCAAACGUAUUUGCUUUAUUAUGCUUUUUUCUUCAGAAAUAAUAAUUUAUCCACGUAUUUGCUUUAUUAUGCUUUUUUCUUCAAAAAAAAAAAACUGAAUUUAGAACAGUGACUUACAUUCCUUUGGUGGGCUACCGUCAAAGGGAAAAAUGAAAGGGAGAUGAGAAAGUACAUCAUGAUUAAUGAUGAAUGAUAAUGAUUCAAACUAUAGAGUGAAAGUUUAUGUUAUGGAAUCAAAUUGAAGAUAUAUUAUAUUUUUGCAAUUCUACUAAAAAAAUUAAAGAAGCCGUCUUUUUUAUAUUCAGUUUCUCACUCCACAUCCAACCACAUCCAACGGCUGAUGCUGCAGUCUGUACCUUACAGAUUCUGUAAGCUAGUCGAGUCCUCAUCGACGAUAAUAAAAUAUCCUCAUUACUUUUUACUUUACUAUUUAUUUGGGAAAUCGAGUUUGCUUUUACAAAGCCAUUAAUUUUAAUAAUAAAAAUUAAGCAAUUUAAAUAUUGAGUAGAUACAGGCUAAAAUGUUUCAUACCGGUACUCAAUUUGUUCAACCAAUGGAUGUGAAAAAUUAUAUUUAUACCCAACCAUUAUUUAUUAAUGGCAGUUAAAUUAGGCCGAUUUCUAUUAGGGCUUUAUAGAGCUUAUCUCCGUGAAGAUUUUUGUCAUUCUUGUUGGAAUUUUUUCAAUUCUCAUAAAGCAAAUAAACCCUAAUUUGAAUAAAUUUUAAUCCCUAAGAUCAUAGAAUAUCAUAAUUUUCAUAUCAUCAUAACUGAGAGAAAACAUACAUUGAUUCAUAGUAAUUUUUCUUGAUCAAAUCUCACUACUAAGAGUUAGAGAUUAGCAAAAUUGAAUUCUUUCUCUUGACUCUUUUAGAGUGACUCAUUUUUUUAUGGAGAGAAAAUUAACGUGAUAUCCUUUUAUAUAUCGGGUGGAAAGAUGACCAAUUUUAAUAAAAUCUUAAUUCUCACUUUCCAUCAAAAUAAACAGUUAGUUUUUCCCAAUUGACCAAUAGGAUUUCAACCCAUAAUUUAUUUUAUUAUUAUUAAUUUAAUAAUGUGGCACGUGGUCCACUAUAAAAUAUUCCAACAAUCCCGUCUUAAUACAUCGGUUCAUAAUAAUUUUAAGUCAUAUGCUAACAUUAGUGAAGGUACAUGUUUUCUAACAUAACUUGGUAAGCAUAACAUUAGUAAAACUUAUUCCUAAAAAUUGAGCAAUAAGUCAAUUAUAUUCUCGUGAGAAUUAUUAAAUUCAUUCAAUGUUGUUGCUUUUUGUUUGCUUAACUUUUUGUCUAACGUAUGAUUUAAAAGCAAUUGAUGGUAAUAUUUUUAUGAUGUAUUUAUUAAACUAAGCAAACUAAUUAAUAUGAAAAUUGAUUUGAAUAUGUCUUGAUAUGUACUAUCAUGUUAAGUUCGGUAUUGAUUUGUAAUUAAUUAUUGUGGCAAUUGAUUUGACAUUCAAUGCUGAUAAAUCGUCUCUAAAUUCCAUGCUGAUUAUCAUUAAUUAUUGCCUGAUCACUAAAUAAAGUUGUAAUAACAACAAUUUUUUUUUCUUUUAUUACGAAUAUGCUCAUCCAUUGGCCUUUCAGAAUCAUCAUCAUCUGCACGUGGACACCAACAAAACUAGCCGGUGUAAUAAGUAAUAUAUGGUAAAAAAAACUCAUGCGGGCCUGUCCCCUAAUGAUGUUAUAUGUUGUGGUAGAAUAGUGAGCCUUUUUGUAAAAUUCAUAUAUUUUUAAUAUUAAAUUUAAUAAACUUAAUGUUGGUCCUAUAAUGGGAUAUACUACUUUGCCACAUGACAAAGUAAUAUAUCUUAAUGCAUCAACAUAUUUAGGUGGUGGGACAACUCUACACAAAUCUUUCUCAUAAAAUAUAAAUAUCACAAUGUAAUAUUUAUGUCACAGAUAAUAUAUGAAAGAACUUAAUGAAAACUAUUUUAUUUUACAAAAAAAUUUAUAUUUGUAAUUUUUUAUUUUUCAUUAUAUUUUUAUGAAUUCUUUAGUUAUAACUGAAAGACAUUUAUUUUAUAUAUACAUAAUAAAUUAUUUUAAGAUGUUGGAGAAAAUUUAAUAUAAACAGUUAUGCCUAAUAGAAAAUUUUCAAAUGUAAUGACUCUUGACAACAGUUAAGGCCAUCAUUCCCGUUGGAGUUCUCCAUGACCGAUUUUAAUAUUCUCUUGAACAUAAGUGUUUGCAUAUUAUACCUAGUAAAUUAGUGAGUAUUAACUUUUUAACUCACUUGUUUAUAUGAUAAAGACUCAAUGAUGGAGAAAGAAAGAAAUUUUGGUCAAGGGCAACGAUAAUACUAAUAAAAAUAAUAAGUGUUUAUCAAAGAUAUAAAUGUAAGAUCUAUGCAUUUUAUUUUGUAUACAAUUAAUGUUGACUAAGAUGCACAAGAAUUCCUAUCUAAAUGUGAGUUUAUUAGUUUUAGGAGUAUCUUGUCUAAUUUGUAUUUUAUUUUAUUUUAUUUUUUAAAUUUAUGUCAUUUAGGUAAUUCUUAUUGGAAUCAUAAUUCCAGUAUAAAUAAAGGUCUUUCUGUGGGUAUUUUGAACUUUUGUUAUCUCUCAAUAUUUUUAUGGAAUUGAUGAGAUGUAAAUGGUUACAAUAUUAUGUGGCAUUCGUUUUUUGUCUGAAAUGUAAAUAGACAUUAACUAGUCUGAAUUCUGAAUAAAAUAUAAUGUCUGAAUCUAAAUGAUAUGUUUUUUUUUUUUUGUUUGAAUUGUUAAAAUGAAUAUAAGCUCUUUUUUUUUAACUGAAAAAUCCAAAAACUAGUAUUUUUACAUUUGUGUCCUUACAAAUUAUAAAUGUUGAACAAAUAAUAAAUAUCUCAAAGAAUUUAAAUAAGAUAAUAUAUUAUCAUAAUAUAAAUCAUGUUCAAUCAAAUAAAAAUAUUCUAAAUUAGUAUAUGUCAAUCAAUUUAUUGUAGUUUAUGAUGUUUUUAUAUGAAAAAUAUUCAUAAAAUAAGACAAAUAAUGCUAAUUUAAAGAAAAUAAAAAGAUAAAAAUAAUAAUAGUUUACCAUUAUAUUAUCAUAAGUUGUAGAGAUGGGUAAUAAUAUUAAUUAUUAAAUUUUAUUUAGGUAAGGAUGAAAAUUGAUUAAUUAGAUAAGAAUAUUUUGGAGAAUAUCUUUCGAUGAUAUUAUUCAGAUUUUUUAGAUUAAGUAAAAAAGCUAUAAAAAAAAAAUAACUUACUAACUUAAUGACUGAAAAUCUUUAUUAAGUUGAAAAACAAAUGGAUUUAAUGACUUAAAUCAGUUAAGUCAUUAAGUCAAAAAAACAAACAUGCCCUUAAUUAGGGAGAUCACCAAUUUCCUUUUACUGAAAUCAAUAUAUAUUAUUUAUCUCUCUAUUAUUUUUAUAAUAUCCAAAAACAUUCUAACACCAAAAAAUUUAAAGAAAAGAAAGAUUAAUGAGUCAUUUGCUUGAUAAUAUAUAUUGGAAAUAUAAAAUAUAUAUUUAUUGUGAGAAAAAUAUUUAAAAAAUAACAAAAAGUACAAGAAAACAUCUUAUUAUUAUUAUUUUUAUUUACACCGAAAUAUAUAUUUAUAUUUUUAACACUUAAUUUUUUUUCAUAUAUAUAAUUUAUUUUAUUUAUAACAAAUAUGAAUAAAAGUGUAUUUUAAAAUAAAGAUAAUACUGAAAAAUUAUGCUGCCAAGGAGAUUAUUGGCUAUUAUAAAAAUCGUAGGGGGUAAGUAAUAUAUCUUAAUUUGAGUAAAAGAAAAACUGACAAUCUCCUUAUUAAUUAUUCUCAUCAUCUAUGCAUUGUUUUUUAUCCAUUCUUGGACUAAAUAUAGUAUAUCAGUAACCCUUUCGUUGCAUCAACAACAAUAUUAUCAUUUAUCUAACAUUUUUACCUAUUUUAUCCUUAAACUGUAGCCAAGUUGGCUUAACAACUUGUAAUGAAAACAAAGAGCAAUGAUAACCUAGCAAAAAUAUUGAAAAGUUGAUAAAAAUAAUGUUGAAUAGGUGCCAAUGAAACGCUGUAUAUCGGCAUUGGUUUAAAUUUAUUUUUAUUUGCGCUCUAUCAGUGCCAUGUCUCUUUUAUCAUUUUUCUGAAAAUAAAGGGUCAAAAAUUCAAGUUUAAGAGGAUAUGUUUCAUUUUGUGGGAUGAGUUAGGAUACAUAAUAUAACUGAAAAAGGUUAUUAAAAAAAAUAAUAAUAAUGAGAGGCAACCUGAAGUUUUGUCAACCCAUCUCAUUUUAAUUUUACUUGAGCUUGGGUCCAAAUGAUUUGACAUUUUGCAAGCGGUUCUGUCAUAUAACACAUUGACAUAAAUUAUCAAUUGUCACGCAUUUUAAAUACAUAUAAAUACUUCCCCUGAAAACAUUUACUGAAACUAAUUUUAUUUUAAAAAUUCCAGUGGGAACCACUGCCCCACCCGGUCUCUUUGUGGUUGCAUCUGAUGCACUCUACCUUCACAAAAGUUAUUGAAAAAUGUUUUUGGGCAUUCCUAACGUUGCUUGACAUUUUCUUUUCUCUAAGAUAUUUUAUUAAUAUAAAACGUUUACCCCAAAAAAAAAAAGAAAAAUUGCAUUACAGGAUUUUGAGAUGUGAAACAAGCAAACUCAUGCAGCAUCCUUUACCACUUACCCAAACCUCAUCGCCUCAGCUUCAGAAAAAGCUACAUCACCAUCAAAUUUUCAAAUUUUGAAAUUUUGAAAUUUUGAAAUUUUGAUCUGCAUUACUGGGGCUACAAUAAUGCCUUUUACGCCUCAAACUGUUAAAAAAUCUGAAAAUAUUUGUAAGUAUCACAUUUAACUUCAAGGGAUUUACCGCAUGUUGAAUGAAAAACCUAUAUUACCACCGUCAAAAUUAAUUAGCUUUAAAGGUCAUCUCUUCCAAAUACCAUUGACUUUCUAUUUCAUAACUAAAGCUUCUAUUUCACAACAGUUACAACUUAAAAGCGGCCGCACGAAAAUACUAAACGGAGACUAAAUCACUUGAUCUACAAUUUCAACAAUGGUAUUAGUACUACCAAAAAGAAAUGUCUGCAGGGUGUAAAACGUUCUUUAGCUUAUAUUUUUUAUUAUACAGUUACAUGGUGUAUCGAUGCAAUGAGGUUAACAGCGCGAGCCAAGAGAGACCAAUUAAAGCUGUCAACAGAAACUAGGAGAGCCUUUGAAAAAAAAAACGACACCUGGUAACUAUGGAUGAAUGGCUGGGGUCAAAAUUAUUCCUCUUGGCCAAUCACUAUCCGCGACCCAGUAAAAAGAAACUGUCAUCUCUUUAGCUUUGCAUAGGAUCAGAGUCAUUCUUCUGAUGUUCGAGAAUGAUAUUACAAUUGUUCAUGGUGCGCGCAUCAAGAAGACCAUGAUUCCAUAGCUUGAUCAUGAACAAUCUCCAACACCUGCCAAGCCAAAGGCAAAUUAACAUACAAGAUGUCAAGGUGUUAAACAUGGUAAUUUCUUUAAUUAAAAAAAAUGAAAAAAUAUAUCAUAUUCCACCCUAGAAAUAAAAACAGUAAAGAAAACAAACUCAUAAUUUCUGGAAGCAGAACUCAAACAGAACAGAAGCAUCGAGCUCACGUUCAUACAACCCUAUUUACUGAUUAAUUAGUUUGUUUGAAAUAAUGCUUUCACACAUAUUACCACAUACUUGACUCUUAUCAAUUUCCAGCAUACAAGAGCAAACUAGAUAAAAUUACUACAUCAGCUUGUCAAUUGUAUAAGUCCAAUCCAUCUGAAAAUGAAGGUACAAAACCUUAUCAUGACUUUUUGACUUUUAACAAGCUGAAUCAAAGAUAUUACUAUAUACGAAUUUGAACCAUCGACUUUUGUGUAUAUGCCUCGAUCUGAAUCCUACUAUUGCUUAAUAAUUCAUAAUUCAUAAUUCAAUAUAAAAUUAAAAUAAAUAACAAAAAAUAUAAAAAUAAUAGUAGUAUAUUAAAAAAAAACCUACAUGAAGAUGCAAUUUUACAUGCAUAGGAGGCAAAUUUUAGCACAAGCUAUUCAUAAACAUCUGCCUAAAAACAAUUCAAUUCAAUGGACAGAGUUAAACUACCAUUUCAGUGCUGGGGCUUGGACUAGAUCGUGUCCAUACAAUUUAGUAAAUGCUUCACAUGCCCAGGGAAUAUGACCAUCAGCCAGCACACUGUCACCACAAGUUGUUGAAAUUUUGUUAGCACAUAAAAAUAAGAAGCUGAACAUGUGAGAAUAUUUUGCUAACACUUGAUGGAAUAUAUAAGGAUAAACAUAGAGAAACAGAUCAUGCACGACAUUGUAGUACAUUACAAGUAGGACAGAAAUGUCUGACGGCAUCUAGAGCAGUCAAAAGGGUAAGAAUUUUGGUGCAGAUUAUAAGAUGUGGGUUUAAAUCUUAGUUAUGAUGGUCAAUUUUAACUCAAUCUGAACCACCAUAAUUACAUGAAUAUACAACCUAGUAUGAGCUUAAUAAUUGAUUACUUUAGAAGAAGUAUAAGCAAAAAUUAUUAACUAUGCCAUCAGAUUUGUAUACAUCUCGGUGACAAUCCAAUAAAAAAUGGUGACCAUAUCGAAUAAUGGAGCUUCUAACACCUCCUUACAAUUAUUUUGCAACCCCACUUUUUAUAUUUGUCGCUCUUUAUUUGAUUAAAAUUAUAGAAAAGGACAAAAAUUACAAUAUAAUUAACGUGUACAAUCAUCUAGAAUAAAUCAAUUAAAUUAUAAAUAUACUUUUCAUUAAAAAAAUCUUAUUAUUAGGUAAUUUAUAUCUUCACUAUUUCAAAAUUAUUUUGAUUUUAUUAGAUAAUUAAUUAUAUGAUAUAAUAGGAUUUAAAGAUAGUUGGGGAUUCAUGUUUUGUAAAGAAAUUUUAAUUUAAUUUAAUUCAUAUUUGUCUUUUUAUGCAAAUCCUGUAGUCAUAGAACUAUAGUUUAAAAAAGGGGUUUUUAUAAGGAUAUUGAAGGGGUGUAAAAAGCAUUACCCAAUAACAAAAUCAGUUCCCAGACUACUAACUGAAUUUCGGUUGUCAGAUCGGUUACAAGUGAAUCAACAGACCAGGUUAACACCUACCACCAACUCAAAUAUACUGUUUCCCACAGAUUUGAUUUCAAUGGGCAUCAAAGCCAAAAGCUUUAAAAGCCAAACCCAAAGGAGUGAUCUGACAACCUCAGAUGUCAAGAAAACAAACAUAUAGACGAGGGUUGAGAAGGCAGGAUAAACAAGAAUAUGGCUAUAGUGCAGCUAAAUGACUAACCCAACAGGUCCCAUCCUUGUUGAGUGAACUCAGAAACCCAACAUAAAAUAGAUAAGAGACCACAAGGAGAAUUUUGCCUUUUUUCAGAGGGAUUGAGAAUGCCACAGAAUGGUUUCUGCCUAGUCACAGCUAGAGAAGAAACAUUUUCAGUAGCAAUAAUAAUAAACAAUACAAAGCAAGACAAAUACCGUUGCUUCCUCACAAAGGAGUUCCACAUGUGCAUCAUUUGUUUUUCAUCUUUGGUAACAUCCACAAAAUCAUCAAGCAUCUGCAACAUUCUUAAAUAUGUUAAUGCUGUGCCAUAUUCUAAAUGCAAAGACCAAAAUACACAGCAGCGAAUUUUGUAAAAAGGAAUCCCAGAAGGAACAAGGUUCAAAAUCAAUUGAGGAUGCUAGCUCUAUAACUUAGCCAGCCCUCAUCACUCAUCAACACAAAGAUUAGAGAGAAAAUGUUUUUCUGAUUACGUCCAUUCAAGUUAUGGUAAGCACGCACUUAUAUGAAUCAUUGAAUAAUAAUUAAAAGUGAAUUCACAAUUGAUAAUCAGAAACCUAAGCAGGCUAUGAUAUUCUGAUGAUUGAAUAGUCAAGGGGGACCUUUCCGAAGUUUGGAAUGGCAUCCAACCAUGCUUGAUCCUAGAAAUACCAAAAACUUUGUAAAUACCAACAACUUUCAAAUUAAAAUCUUUGGAAAGGCACAACAUAAAAUGUUCUCUUUUUGUUAACUUAUCAUUGAUUUCAUCCAUAUUUUUUCAAUAGCAGGAAUAUGGUAUAAUCAAUCAGUUAAAUUCUUCAAUGAACAUGGUAAAUUAGAGGCCAAUUGGAUAUACAACUGAUUCCUCAGUGCAAGCUAAAACUUAACUUCUGAUCUAUGCAAGAAAAACUUUGUUCUACUGCAGACUACAUUACAAAUAAAACAAGAUUUGGAGUGAAAUCAUGGAAAGUACCCUUCGAUCUUCCAAAUCUGCAACAUCGUCAUCAACUUCAUCCUCACUAUCCCGGUCCGACACUACUUGCUCCCACGCCAUUGGCUUCAAAAUGCAGAAAGUUUAGACAAUUUAGAUAUUAGAAACAUGAAUUCGUUUUAAUGAAAUAAAAAAUGAGCAGUUUAUAGGUGUUCAAAAGCAUAUAUAAUACUAAUCAAUGACAUUGAUUUAUUUUGGGAGCCUGGGCAGUUGGCUAGAAUAAACCAAUAAGCUUGCAAAAAGGAAGUUCCAAAAUUCAUUUUGAUGUAAUAAUCAAAGACUAUCCUCAGCAUCUCAAAGAACUCUGAUUUCCUCAAUUCAUCUAACGUCAGUAAUAAAUAUAGCACCGCAAAAAUUUGACAGAAACAGAACUCAAACAAUUAAAGAACUUCAUUGCAUAUAUCACUAAUUUGUUUUCUUUUAGGAAAAAAUAUUCCAGACUAGAAAACUAGUGGUAAAUAAAAAGUACUACAGCAAAACCUCUCUAUAGUCAUAUUGUUGGGACCAAACUAAUUAAUUACUAUGAGGAGGUUAUAACUUCAUAGAGGUGUAGUUACAAAAAUUAAUGUUUUGACUCAAUUAUCCUUGGUACAAGAGAUAUAAAGGUAAAAUAUGCACUAUAUCAAUAAUUAAUUAAAGGAACAUGUCAAAUUCAAUGUAAAUUCCAUAAAUAUUGUGCAUUGCAUAAAUCAUUGGCCCAAACAAUUUUAAAGAAAAUAAAUUUCUUGGAAUAUACAAAUAAUUAUUACUAUAUGGAGGGAAGUUCCAUAAGACGGAAUCUAGAAAAUUGUAGCUAAUUACAAUGUAGAGUUCAUUCUUAUUUAUAACUGGCCCAAAUUGGAACCAGAAUUUUUUUUUUUUUUCUACUAUAUAAAGGUUAUUCCUAUAUAGAGUAUCACUAAAGACAGGUUUUACUACAUGUAAAUUCAUGUGGUUAAGCCAAUAUUACUCUUGAAAGAGACACUCCUCCAAUUUUACACCUGGAACAAAAUCCCCUCCCCACCCCUGUGAGCUGGUUCAAACCUCUUGUAAUGCCCCCCAAGAGGUUUUACCAGCUAAACAAGGUAGCACCCACUACUUUGGCAAGAAAACUGAAAAUACAGAGGUAAAAGUUUCUGAAAAGGACAUCACAAAUCCAAACAUCCAUCACACUGUAAAAAGCAAACACAAAAAAUUGACCAUAAAUCCAAUGACAAACCAUUAGUUAGCUACCUGAGCUCUAUGCGAGUGGAAGAACUGUCGCUUUUGAAGGAGGGUACGGCUGAAAAGAAUGAGAAAAAUGAUACAUUAAAACCCACUUUCGCACUUUCACAUGCGACCAAUUUGGGACUUAUUACAAAAUAUAGAGACGAUGAGAUAAUAUUUUAAAUUUCUCCCAUAAAUGAGCAGUGUCCAUCCUCACAAAAUAUCCAAACUAAAUUGACAUCCAGAUUCAGAACUCGUUAGUUCAAAGCAUGAACCUUAAAAGCAGGAUAUAAAGAAUUCAGAGAUUGAAAAAUAUCAUUGGCAACUCUGUAGCUAGUUCUGCUGCUAAAGUUAACUUUUAAAACCACGUUACAAAAACUAGUUAAACAACUUCAACCUAAUUUUAAACACUAAACUGGUAGAAACUGCAAAUUAUGACCAUUAUUACAGAAGUACCAAGCUCAAAACAUUUAAAGAAAAACAGAAAGGAAAUGGAAAUUGCCUCCAGCAUGAAAAUAAAAUGUUUAAACACAAAAGAGAACUAACACUUACUUCCUCGAAUCAGAACGUUCAAUAGAUAACUUUCUCGUCUUCGCAAAUUGUAGCAUGGCAGGUGCCGCAAGGUUGUUUCCAGAUAACAACUGAUAUUCUGGAUCAGUAUACAAUUGUGCAUCAGCAUUUGAAGCCCCUGCAACAUUAAAGCUGGAAGGAACAUGUUGUGCACUCUCAGCAACAGCAAUAAUAGAAUUCCGGUAAUCAUUCCCACCUGUGACGCAAGGCUUUUCAUGUUAGUUGUUCGAUAAUAAGAAAUUCUAGAAAUCAGUCAUGCACUCAAAACACAUAACUGUUUCAGCUUAUCAAAAACCAAAUUGAGCUAUCAGUCAAUCUCCAGAUGAUGUCAAAGAAUACACUCAAUCUGAUCAAAACUCAUUUUUUUAGGACUGGUUAGUAGCAAACAGAUCGAUCACAUUGUUUUUUGGCAGGAACACAAUUUGUGGCCUCAGCAAGUGAAAAUACAGGAAAGAGAAACAAAGCAAGAUUUUCAUUAGAAUGGCAUACCCAAAUUCAUUUAGGAACAGCAUUCCCACAGGUGCAUGCCACAGUCAUGAAUGUAACAUCAAAUCAUUAAGACUCAAAUGCCAACUUGAUUACCAUUUUAUGAGAUACACAUGAGAAACUCAUUAGAGUAUCAACUCCACAAGCCUACUGAAACUGCAUGGAAAGUCCCACCCAGUCAAGGAAAAGCUCUGAAGAUUUAUUUUUUACACUUGAUAGCCUUCCUUCGGCAAAACCAUGUGCUCAAACUAGUUCUUAUAGUGCAUCAGAUUCAGGAUUCUUGAUAAAGCUAACCUACACAAGCUCUAACAAACUGCAAAACAUCCAAUUAUUCAAGAAAAUAAGAAAUUAUCCAGAGAUGGGUUACUGCUGUCGAUCUCCAUGAAUUUUUCUUUCCUUUUUUGGAUUAAAUAUUCACAAUCACCUAAUGCUUUCAUAAGUUAAACCAAACUAGAAUUAUGGAUGAUAUAGACAUAAAUUCUCACAAAGUGAAUGGAUUAAAAAAAAAUUGAAAAUCCUUUUCAUGGAGAUGUCUUGUAGAUCUCUUUGACGGGGUUCCCAUUGGGAUGCUGCAGUUUUAAGAAAAUCUCCACUCACUUGGUCCUUGCCGCUUUGUUUCAUUUCCACUAAUUGAUCAUGGGAGAACCUUGUCACCCUACUAGUUUCUAUGUAAAACUCACAUAAACAAAAACAAUAAGAAAAAAAAAAUUGCACUUCUAGAAGCUACAGGUCAACCAGUUUCAAUAAGCUUCUGCAGACUUUAUUAGAAGGUUGGUAUCCUUCAAAAUGCAUAUAAUAGAACACGCACCGUCAGCUUUGUCAAGUAGUUCACACACUCCUGGAGGCUUCAAAACAAGUGGAUGUACAUGCUUCGACUGUUGAAGUAGGCUUUUUAACCUCCUGUGUCUUCGUUGCUUUGAGCUAUGCAUAAAAAAUUCAUUCAUCAUUUUCAGUUCAUCAUAAAAAAUAUGCAUACAGACUACAUAUGUGCCAAAACAACUGCAAAGAGAAAACUUUGAAAGAAGAAAUAUAAAUUAGAUGAUUUACCAAAAGAAGAAUGUUUGCUGCUUAGGAUCAACACCAUCCGCAACAACCUGAAUAGAAAAUAUUGGCACAUAAAUGAAAACUUCAAUGACCUUCGUUUAAACAUCAUGCUGAUUUUAAAACUUACACAUAGGCAAAAACUGAAAUUCGAUGAAGCAAUUGUUCAAUCAACAAAUAAUUCUAAAUUCAAAAAUCACCUAAAUGCAUUGCAUAUGAGAGUUUGCCUUCAGGUCAAGAGCUAACUUAAAGCUACACAGUAUAAACUGCAUUAUUAUUGAUUGUAACUAAAUGAACACAAUCUAUUAGGAAACAAAUCAUUGUGGAUCUACAUGUCUGUAAGCAAUUAAGCAGAUACAAGAAAAGAUACAGAUUACAAGAGCAACAAAACUGGAGCAAGAUGUAUCAAAUUCUCAUUCAUCUUCCAUAUUCAACCCUCUUCUAUUUCUUUUUCCUUUUGUUUUUAAUUUUUCUACACGAACAAAUGCCAGUUAAUACCAAUGAAGUACCAAGAAGAUUCCUCCACAAGUAGUUUCCAGGGAGAAAAAAUUUCUAACCUCAGAUCUCCAAAUAUCAGUUUUCACUGAGACAUUUACAGCCUGAUAUUCUUCAGUUACCUACAAUAAUUUUUUUCUCACUUUAGCAGUUACAAUUUGAAAAAUCAAAAUUAUCAUAAAGCAACCACAGCUCCUGAGGUUUACCAACCCAAAAUUCAAAGUUGAAUAGAUCGUGUGAUGAAGAGAGGUGGUAUCUCAGACCCUACAAAAAAUUUUUAAAACAAAAAGUUCAUCAAGCAUGACAUUUUAGCUAGUAUAAAACCAAAACAGAGAUGAAGUGUAUAUGUCAAAGAAAAGGUUCAACCUUAAAGCUUGCACAUUUUGCCAAGCAGAAAGGACAUGAAAAGUCUUCAGUGACUGCAGGUCAAAAGAUUAAUCAGGUUUACAUCAUUACAAGAACAAAUUCAUAGAAUACCUAUUCUAGAAAAUUAGAACCAAAAAGUACGUUUUUCUAGAACCAAACAUUACAUAGUUAUUUCAGAACCAGACACACCUAAACAACAAAUAGGCUACACAAUCAUAGUAAUAAUAAUAAUAAAAAAAAACCAUUAACUAUAUAUAUAAGAAGCAAAAAGGAGAUUAAGAAUAAAUUAUCAUACCUUCAGUUCUUUGCAAUUUGUUGUUGUAAUAUCUAUAGUUGAAGACAACAUUUCCAGCCCUCAACCUAAAAUUCAAGCAGCAAAUAUUUUUAGUGUGCACACCAUUUGCUUUAGUAAAUCCAGCAAGGGAAAAGUAGAAGCAUUAACCACUAAGAAUGCCAAACACACUAAUCACUAAUUUCACAGCAGAGAGAAAUUUGUAUUCAUCUGAGGAUUAAAAUUCUAAAGCUAAACUCAAUGAAAGCUUACACGAGGAGCAUUUAACACUCAAUUCUUCAGUUACAUUAACAUGUUUUUUUAGUUUUCUUAUUUCAUUAAACAAUAUCUUCAUGUCUCACAUUAUAUUUCAUAAGCAAUUGCUCACAACUUCCAAUCAAUCAUAAAAUGUUCUUCCUUGAUUUUCUCCUAAGGACUUGAACUUUACUUGAAUCCAUAAUGAAACUAGUGUAAACUAGCUGCAAAUUGUUCUUCCUUAGUGGUUGCAAAGAUCUUGAGCUUACCACCAAAUGAAGGACAUUGUUUAAUGUUAGCAUAAACUUGAAUGAGUUCUUGAUUUGAAAUUUUUUUUGGGGGGUAAUAGAUAGGAAACAAUCUGAGGAUUGUUCUAACAUUUUCAAGGAUGUGCUGAGUAAAAGCUUAUGUUCAAAAUUUAACAAGUGGAUGUUCUGAUUUAAAGGGUGUACAAACCACCCAAAUGUUUGACAUCGUGAAUUCUGAUACAUAAAGAAACAAAUCAUGCAAACAACAGAAACUUAAAAUCAAUCUUUCCCCGACUAAGAAAAGCUCUAAGUUCAAUAUAACCAACAAUCAUCUUAUUAAGCAGCAAAAAAUGGAGAAAGUAACCAUUAUAAUUGCAGAGCCAAUUGAGAACUACAUUUAACGAUUACAAGGAAUAUUACCGAAUAAUACGGGACAAUGAUGGAGAAGAAAUAUCACUACAAGUAAACGAAUUAUAAGGAGAUUUGUCCCUUCCCCCAAUUUCUUCAGCAGAAAUGGUGACAUGUACCUGUUGUGACGUACUCUUUUGGAAACCCAGAAAAUUGCAAAAUAGAGGGGGAAAAUCAGAUAUAUGAUUAAUGAAAAGGGGGAAAAAGAUCCUAGUUGAAAAGGAAAACAUAAGAACAGCACAAACCGAGGAUCCAGAAUUAAAGGGCAUUUGAAUUGAGACACAUUUGUCCUUGUCCAAACAACUCAACUGCAACGUGAAACAGAAACAAUUAAAACAUGAUUUAGAUGGGAAUUCUUUUACUUUUACAAAAAUAAAAAAUAAAAAUGAUAAGAUAAUUUCUGAACAGCCAAAUGCAACAAAUUAUACAAAAUGAAACCUAUUUUCACUUCAAAUUUCAAGUUAAAAAUUUAUAGUUCUGCAUAUUCAGACAUUUGAGAUAGUUCUGCAUAAUUCAGACAUUUGAUCACAUAGUGCUUCUUGUACACAAUUUAAGCUAGUCUUUUUGCGAUCCUCAUUUUGGAAGCUAUGUAUUCCUUCUACAAUCCUGUUUCUUCUUUGAGAAGUCUAGAUAAUAAAACGUUUUCAGUUGUCUUCUCCUGUAUGUUAGAAGUGUAAUUAAGAACGUAAAAACAACCAAUAUGAUGGAAUGAAGAAUUGCGAACUGGAAAUUCUAGCACUCCUGAAGUUAGCGAAUUUAUAUUGUCGCUCUAUAUAUCAUGUUACGUAAAUUCUGAGCACCAACUUGAUGGUGAAGGCAUUCUAUCGAAAUUGUGGUAUUUCAGAAGUCAGAACUUUAUCCAGGUUAAACAUAUAGUCGUCAACUUUGAGUUGAUGACAUCUACCAUAUUAACACUUGGCAAGCAGCAUCCAUACUGAAGAACUUUAGUCCGACCAUAAAUCAUACCAUUUUGCAAACCAUUUAACAUAUAAAUCCAUCUUCAACAAUAGUCAUUGUAGUUCAAUGUUUGCCAUUUUAAAAUUAAAAGAUGAAAUUCAUCAGACAAAGAACUGUAUUUGACAAAAUUCAGGUGUUGCUCCUCCAAAACAUUAGAUUAUUUCAUAUAGAAAAUUUUGAAACAAAUUAGGAUCCCAGACAGCCAAUUGAGCAUAUGCCUAUUAGUUAUCUACAUGACGUUCAGUGAGUCAAAGAAAAAAUACGGAAUAAGAAAAAUGAAAAUGAAAAAUUUUCAGACAGUGACAUUAUCUAAGCAGUUUAGCAAAAGCAAUAAACCAACAUGCUAAGUUAACAUUCAAGAAUAAGCAAGCUGAAAACGAACAAAAAUUUUAAAAGAGGCUGCCUCAUGGUAUACCUUUAAGAAGCCAGAAUGCAUGUCAACAGGAUAUGUCAACUCAGCUCUCUGCCCCAGACUCAAAUUUGGGGACUUCUCCCAUGACCUGUACAGUGAUUCCAAUGGUAUCUUUCCCCAGUGGCAAUAUCCUCCAUCAUUUGCUGCAUAUCAAAUUGAACUGAAUUUAAAUUGGCGAAAGAAUUCUCAAAGUUAAACAGAAGUUACCUUCACACCAGUAAUCCAGUGAGGUAACUUUAAAAAAUUCAAGAUACAUAGAUAAGUCUUUUGAACCCCUGACCUCUUUGUUUGUUGGAUGCAAGAGUACUGAACCGAACCCCUAAGGAUUACACACAUGCUAUAGAUUUUCUUAACUAGCAAGCAAAUUUAUUUGGAAAGAUAGCAGGGUUGAGAUGCUUCAUCACCUUUUUUUUUUUUUAAAUAAGUUUUUUCUCUUACCAAAACUAAAUUCAAAUCAUCAUAGAAGGUUAAUAUAUUAACAGAUCAAUGCUUUAGCAUCUCUAGAUUUCAAUGUUCAUCCAAAUCAUCAUGAUGACUAGUUUGUCUCCAUCCGAGAAAGGAAUUUCCACAAAUUACAAAAAUGCUGAAACUAGUUAUAAAAAUUAACUAAUACAGCACAUACAGAAGUUAAAUCAAUCAUAGCAAAAUUUGAGAAUCAUUGGUAUCUAAAUCCUCCAUGCAGUUUAAAUGAACUGACCAAAAUGUUAGGCAUGCAAUGUCAUUCAAAAUAAGGGUCUGUUUGGGAUUGAAGUUGGACAGCUGUAACUUAAAAGUUGCAACACUAAAGUGUUUGGUAAACACUAGCUGCUGCAGUUUAGAAACUAUGUUGAUAAGAUUUUUCACUUGUAUGAUGAAAAAUCUAUUAUAUCUUUAAUAAUUUUAUCAAAAUUAUUAUUUAAAAUUUAUAUUUACUACAUACUAUUAACUUUUGUUUUACAGUUAUAGCUUUUUUUCUAUAGUAGCUGUGCUUAAAAGCUACAGCACCUCAAUCCCAAACAGGACCUAAGUUGGCAAUGAAAAUAUAUCUCACAUGGAGUCAAUGUCGUACCCAAGCGAGCCUUGGUUAAAUCAGUUCCACUUGAAGAAUUUGGGCUUCCAGCUGCAAUGAAUAUAAAUCAUAAAAUUCAUACGUAAAUCCUGGCUCAUUAAUCAAAUUACACCUAAAGGUAUGUGGUAAAAAAAUUACCAAAGUUGACAAGCAAGAUUGCAAGUGUGCAAGACUUUGCCUUCAGCUGCAGCCUACUAAUCUCGGGGAGGACAAAAUUUGCCUGGACCUGAGUACUGCCCUCAACUCCAGUGAAAUUGGUCAAGAUGCACGCUCGGCUGAAGCGAUAUACAGCAGAAUACUUCAUUUCAAAUAUAGGACAUAGCUAAAUUAGAAAUCAAAUGGCAAUCUAAGUACAAUAAACAGUAAAAUACAGCCAUGAUAUCAAACAGGCGGGAAUUCUUUAAUAAAUAAAUAAUAGAGCUUUAUGUGUGCACAUCAAAAUAACAAUCAGCUUAUGCAUUCCUACCUCUGAAACUGUAGUGCCAGAUACUAAUCUUCCCAGCAAAAUGUACAAAGGAAAGGGAAACCGAGCUUGUAAACCUUCAUUAACAGUUUCUGACAGGGAAAUUGUCAUUUGUAUUCUGCAUGAUUAACCAAUAAUAUACAAAGUUAGUACCUCAAAGGCAUUCAAUGAAAGCAAACGAGCCAAUAUUAUUAAACAACUUCAAUCUACCAAAUGACAUUUUUGACACAGUACUACAAGAAGCAAACCCACAAAGCCACUGUUUCAAGUUAUAUGGCACUGAAUACAAAUCCAAUAAAUCAAAAUCAAGUUAAUAAAAUUAAUUGAAAUCAAAUUGCUUUAAACAUUCAUGUUCAGUUAUCAUUCAAAGCUUAUGUAUAGGUCAUAUAAUCCAAUUAGCCAUAGUUUGCUUCACAUUUUUGAACAAAUGAGAAAUUCACUAAAUUUUUAUGUGCUGGAACCAGAUGUCAAAAGCACAAUGUAUAAGAGAAAAAGUUAUAUAAGUUUAACAAAACUGAUUGUUGCCAUUACACAUGCCAAUUAGAAAAUUUCAACAGAUAAUGAAUCUGGACAACUUAAAAACAGCAGCAAUAAUGUUUAUUCAGUUUUACUUUCCAAGGUGCUACCAAACAGUUCCCAUAAAUGAUGGAUACACCUUUUCUUCAGAAGACUAAUUUAUUACAAUCAAUAAGGCUAUAAAGUUGUAACCCUAAGAUGCAGAAAUUCCCAAGAGACUCUGAAAUUAUGGAGCUCCAUUCUGCAUGCAUUACAUAAUAGAAAAUGAUUCCAUAGCCUGCACCAUAGAAUAGGAAAGAAUUUCAUGAUCACUUAUCAAUUUGUCAAUCAAAAGCCUAACAGCAACCCGCCAAGGACUGUUUUUGAUUUAUCAUGACAAAAAUCAGUGAUCAAGCAGUAAGUCAAAUCAACUCAAGAGAGCUAUAAUCUCGACCAAUAGCAUAACCCCCUCGAAAUAGUAGAAAGUAAUAUUAUUUGCAAAUCAGCAUAUCAAACUUCAACACCAUCCCAUAGAUUUUUCCUUCAACUUAAUGUUCAAUCUACAAUAGCAAAAUAUUCCAAACACACUUCUCCCUUCAUUUACACCAAAGGACAAAGUCCUCAAUUUUUGUUGGCUUUUCUUUGGGGAAAAUCAAAUGAAAAUUAAAAAUCAACCCCAUUAGUGAUGUCUUUAUCGUAAAUCUUCACAAAAAUUAUAUUUUGUGAAACUUGAACAAAACGCCUGACAUGAGAUGAUGUAACUUGAACAUUAAAACAUUCCGAAAAGCUCAUUGGAUUCAUGUACGGCUACACAUAAACUGGAGCCGUCCUUAAUGUAAAAUUGCCAACUUGAUUGAUUUAAUGAAAUUCCAUUCCUGAAAGUACCUAUGCUUUUAGCAAGUAUUUGAACACUAAAUGCAGGUCAACUCAGUUCUCUGAUUAUUUUUUUUUUAUAAAUCUAUCGUAGACAGAAAGAAAAGAAAUUACUACAAACACAUGGGAUUUCCAACUGCCACACAUUUUUCUAGAAAACUAGGGUCAGCUAAUCAUUGCUCAAAGAAUAACAGCCAAAACUGAAAUCUUCGUCCAUAACCAAAAUUACGAGUAACAUGUUAAACUAGUUGUUCCACUUGUCAUAAUGAAUUUUCACAAUGCACUAUUGUACUUCAAAAAAUUUAUAAAAUUACAACCAAAAAAUACACAAAUAAAUAAAAGAUGAAGCUUAGUUACCUCCGAUUGUGCUUUUCAUGAAUUUGGUAGCUCAAACAUCUUUGAAGAAAUGACGGCUGUUUCAGAUAAAUUGGCUCAGUUAGAAACAUCAAAAGCAAAAUGGAAAAACCUAUUAAUACAAACAUUGAGAUUUGAGUGCAACAACAAAGGAAAUACUUCUGGGCAUUUGCAAUCAGAAAAACAAGAGGGUCCAAAUUCCAAAUAAAAUAUUAUUUCUAAUAAUACAAGACCAUCUUUUUGAAAAGAAACAAACAAAAUGAGAUGCAACAAAGUGCAGGACUACAUACAAAAAGUGCAGGAUUAUAAACAAAUCAAAUACAUUACAUUUCUUAUAGCACGCCGUUGAAGAAUGUUGUAAAGUUCUACAGGUUUGCAAUAAAUUGACAGACUCUCUUCAGCAGCAAUUUCCUCUUCUGCAGAUAAAUGCACACGAGCAUCUUCACGGCACAUCUGAUCUGUGCUUCUGGAGUAUCUACAACAGAAAAAAAUCAUAAUCCUGAUCUCAUCUAAUAUAACCUCCCAUCAUAAAGAUCCACUGGAAUUUUAUACAUAAUUAGCAGGGAAAAUUCACAGUCUUCACAUAGGCUCGAAGCCUUCAUCAUGAUUCAUGCUUAAUGAAAGCUUCCCAUAUUUCUCUAGAGAUAUACACACAUCCCAAAACAUCACAGAUGGAAAGUACUACACAAGUAAUCAGUUUCUUGAAAUUCAGUUUUAAUAACACACAAUCACAUAAAAGAAAAUACAAAAGAUAUAGGUGCGCUCUUUACCACUUUCAAAAAUUUAAUUUUGAAAUUCAAAACAGACAGAAAAAGGAUUCACCACAGUUCUUGAAAAAUACAAAAAUAAUUUGAAAACAGAAUGUUAAACUCAAAGUGACUCAAGAGUUUAUGCUAAUGAAAAACAAGAAUUAGAAAAAUAAUAUAAAAUCAAAUAAACUAUAAAUCUUGCUUUAUUCUCCAAAAACUAGUUCGAAUACAAGUCCUAAAAGUGUUUUCAAAAUUUCAAUUCAGAAAAAUUAAUUUGACAUCCAGUUUCUCGUUUUCAUUAACCAAGACAGCUUUCAGCAUUCCUCGAAAACAGUACCAAAUGAGCCUCAAAUAAUUCUGCAGAAAACCUCAAUAUUAAUCAAGCAGCAAAAUCAUCACUGUCGUCCUCCAACCAACGAACCGAUAGUCCUAUGAAUUGCUCAAAUUAGUAUCCACUAUUCAAAAUAAAAUAAAAUAAAAAUCCUCAUCUGCAUCCUCAAGAUGCAAGCAACUAUUACAAAACCUCUAGAAUCUCUUAAUAGACAAAAAUACAUAAUAAUAUAACAUUGAAUAGUCUGAUAGCAAAAACAACAAUCGCAUUACUUAUCAGCAAGUACGAAAAAUUCAAACAACUCUUAAUUCAAAUAUCAUUGAAAUGACUAGAGCGUAACAAAAGUAACACAAAACGAAUCGUUUUGUGGAGAACAUACGAGGAAGUUUCACGUGCCACUAGAGGGAUGCCCGGCAUUCUUCCUAGAUAACACCGAAGUUCGAAUUCGUCAUAGCUCCUCAGCAAAGCCAACUCAAAUACCUACACGAUUAUUAAAAAAAAUUAUCAAAAAUAUACAUUAAUCAAUUCAAACGCGCAACAAUUCAUAAAGUAUAAACAAAUUAGUAAUUAAUUAGUUAUUUGUUUUAAAAAAUAAAAGCUUAAGCGGAGUAUCCAUGCGAACCUUAUAGAAAUAAAAACCCUAAGAUUAAGAAAAGUUAAUUUAGAUAUUUGGAAGUAAACUUGAGGAAGCUUUAGGUUAACGAGAAGUUCCUUCAGGAAUCCGCAGCGUUUUGAGAGAGAGAUAAGAGUGAGAGUUAGAUUAACGACGACUCAGUUAUCGAGGCUUGUUUUGGUUUUCAUUUGUUGGGUUCAGUGCUUUCAGCUCUUCGUAAAAAGCACGUUAACAGCUUCGGUACUCUGCGGUCAAGUAAAAAUGGUCAAAAUUGGUUUUUUAUUUUUACAGUGGUAUAUAUGGGGAACGAUAGCCGCGCAGUCCUUUGUACACGUGGCUUCCUUUGUAAAAAGCACGUUAAAAAUUUGUCAUAAUUUUAUUAAAUUAUGAUAAAAAAUAAUAAUACCCCACAUUUUAAAAUUUUGCUUUUUUUUCUUAUCAACAUCUUUAUUGAGGUUGCAGACACCACCUUUUUUUUUUUUAACUUAAAAUUGAGAGCUUGCAUCUCCCGUAAUUUUCUUUUUAGAUUUAUUUAGGUUCGAUUUAUUUUUUCAGCUAAUAGAAUCUCUUUGUCAUUACAUUUGCAUAAUAUUGUAAAAGGGGUAAAUUAAAAGAACAAAUAACUUUUGUAAUUUGAUGAAAUAAUCAUAAAAAUUGUCUUAUAUUUUAAAAGGGGUAUGUAUGACCAAAAAAAAAAAAAUCUAGGUGAUUAUUUACUAAAACAAAAGGUUCUUUGUAACCAUUUUCUAAACUACAAAGGUGUUCCUCUCCUUUUUCCUUUUUUUUUUUGGAAGGAAAAUUAGAUUUUCAUUAAGCCAAAGUUGAGAAUACAGAUUCGACUUCAGUUGGCAAAGGUUCCAGCCAUAUAACAGUUUCAUUACUCCUUAAGGCUAACUCAGCUCAGGAAUGUGCAUAAGCAUUACAUGAUCUAGGGUUGUAAUGGAAACUAAUAUUCUGUAAGUCCUUACUUUGGUUUUGGAUUUUUGAAAUCACUCACAUAAUCUCUGAACUACUACCCUUUUUGUUGUUUACCAGCUGCACCACAUCUUGACAAUAUGUCUCUACCAUUAGACAGUGAAGGGAUGCACCUUUUACCACAACUAAGCCCCAUUCAAUAGCUUCAGCUUCUACAGUCUUUACAUCUCCUGUAAAUUGUGUGGAUUUGACAGCAACUACUAUAACUUUGUUAUUUAAGUCUCUAAUUACAGCACCCAAGCCUGCUAUUCAUUUUUCAAAGUUAACAAUAGCAUCAACAUUAACCUUGAAUACAUUAGUAGGUGGAGGGCUCUAAUUCUGCUGCUUCUUUGAGUUAUGCUUUCCUCCUGGAUCUUGAUAAGCCUUUAUAACAACCUAUACUCUUGUAAUAGUCAGAAAAGGAUCCAACUUUUUGAGGGAAAAAAGUUGAUUACUCCUAUCAUACCAAAUAGCCUAACAAAGAGCCACAAGGAUUUCAAUAUCUUGCAUGCUCAACUUCUUAGCCAUUUCAUGCAAAAUAUCCAACAUGUCUUGGUUAGUAGCACCUAGGAAGCAUGUUUCAAAAGGGGCAUGAAUCCAUAUCUUUUUGGCAGUUUUAUAGUUUAUCAGAGCAUGAGAUGUGCUUCUCAUUCCUUGUUUGCAAAUUUGACAAUUAGGCUCAGGCUACAUCUUCUUUUCCAUAAGUUUUCACUGGUGGGCAGCAGAUUUUGAGUUGCUCUUCAUAUAAAAAUUUUGAUCUAUUCUGCAAUUGAAGGGUCCAUAAAAAGUUCCAGGGAUGAAAAUCUUUGAAUGAGCAGCUUGGCUUAUUAGGAUACUUAAUCUAGAAAGCCAGCUGAUGUCCACUCUUCACGGAAUAUAAUCCUUUUUUAUCAAAAUACCAAAUUACUUCAUCCAUUCUAGGACUUCUAGGUAGUGGAAUUCUCAAAAUCUCAUUUGCAUCAUCUUUCAUAAACCAUUGCUUCACCUUCCUUUGAUCCCACUGAUUUUCAAGAUUAAUGAGCUCUAGAUAGCAAAUGUUGGGAAAAUAUGCUCUUUAAAAGCAUAUGUGUUUAUUUAAUUGUAAUAAACAAUUUUUCUGAUUAAUAAAAUAAAUGAGGUAUUUUAUUCAAAUAUCUUAAUUGCAUUAAUAUUUGUAUUAAAGUCCAUUUAAUCAUAUUAUAUGUAUUUAUGUGAUCACCAUGUGGAUUCACAGAAGACAUAAAUACAAGUUAUCUUAUGAUUAAAUAAAUUUAGUUCACAGUUGAUAAAUAAAGUUGGGCACUUUAUUUAGGUAUAGACUAUAAUGAAUUCAUUGAAUGAUUUGUCUUAAUCAUGUAUGAAUUUAUUGAUGUAGUACGACUACAUUGAACAGGAUCAAAUAUGAGAUUUAAUUAACUUUGUAAUAACUGGAAAACUUAUUAAAUCUCAUAGGCAUUGAUUUUACUAUAAUCUUAAUCUUGAGUUAAUUAUAAUUUUAUGAUUGUAAUUGUUAUUCCAUUUGAGUUACCAAAGGGCACGACACAUCCUUGUGGUCAAGAUUACCCGGUAUCUUGAUGGGAGCAAUUAUGAGUAUUGGAGUUAUGGAUUAACAAUAAAGAAUUUGUACAACACAUCUCUUGAUAGGUUUUCGGCACUUGAUCAUAGAAUUCUCUGGCCAGAGUGUGUCAACAGAAAAACCAAUUUUAAAAUAUUGAGUGGGAGAGCUGCUGUACGGCCAAGGCGGAUGUACGGUACAGCAGAGUGGAGUAGAUUUGGAAUUAAAUAAUUGGGCUAGUUUAAUUACAGGCCUAAUUAUUGUAGCCACUAUUGUAUGUUCCCAAAUGAUCCCCGGGUUAGCUCAUUUAAUUGAUUGCACCACUGCUGGACUAAUAAGCAAGAUAACUAGCUAUUUGGGUCAAAAGCCUAAAUAUAUCAUUUAGUGGGAGGCUCCAUUUAAUAAGCUUAUGUGUAAGGGGCCUUAUGUUAUUUUACAUGGUGGGUCCCCUAUUAAAUGAAAAGUAACGUGAGUUUUAUUUUGGGGGAAUCCUUGGAGCCUAGGGUUUUCACUAAAGGGAGAUAUAUAAGGCUUAUUUUCCCAAAAAGGAAAAGAAGAAGCCACUUUAUAGACGAAUUCUUAUAUAUUAUAUGAGAGCGAUCUUCAAAAGGUUUUAUAAAAAUUUAAAAACCUGAUUUUUCCCCAACAGCAAAUUCUAUAGAUAGAUUUUAGAUUAAAAGUGGCUUAAAGGAGUGAUUUAAAGAUUGUUAAUACCAUAAACAAAAUUAGUGAUUUAAUUUUUUCUAAUUAAAUAUAAAUUUUGAAUUACCCAUUCGUAAAUUGAGAAUCUUUAAAUCACUUCUUUACUUUUAAAAAUCUCAAGUUACCCUCCAUAAAUUGUUCUCUCUCUUGUAAUUGAAACAGAAAAAAGGAUAAAUGGUAUUUAUACAAUUUCAUAACUAUCAUUAUACAUAAAGCCACAUGGGUAUCUUAUACAUAGAACAUCAAGAUCAUCAUCUAUAUUUUCAUCUAACCCCUAUUUUCUUAUCCAAGUAAAUGUGUGAUGUAGAUGGGGAAAAAAAAUUGUGGUAUAAAAUAAUAAGCUUUACUUUCGCACCAAAGCAAAGCUCAACUUUUCCACUUCCACUCUUAGGACUUAGCUAAGACAGAAAAACAGAGCGCAAUUGAAGACAAUCCAAAACUCGAAGUUGGAAGUAGCAAGAUGACAUCAAUCGACAAUAUGGAGAAUUUGAGUAUGAAAAGUCAACUCCAAUAAUUGAGGUAAGAAAAUAGAAGUUCGAGUAACAUUUUGAUGUUAUUUAUUUAUUUUAGGUGUAUGUUGGUAUGUAUGUAAUUCUUGAGCUUGAAAAUGUCAACUUAAUUGACGGGCAUAAUUUAUAUCAUAUUUAUCACUUUUAAUUUAUAUUUUGGAAUGACAAAAUUAUCCAUGACCUCACUUAAAUAUGCCCGCUACGGGUAAUUUUAUAGGUUUAUAAGCAAGUAUGGUGUUUUAAACUCAAACCCACUGCGUGUUGCAAAUGAGUUUGCCAUUAAGAAAAAAUCUAUCGAAUAGGCACACGGGUAUCCACUUAGGCGCUAACCCACAUUCUUUAUUUUAAUUAUUUAUAUUUUUAUUUUAAUCACUAAAAUUAGAUUAAAAAAUUUAAUCAUAAACAUGUGUAUGUUGAAAUUCCUAAUUCCUAAAUCCACCCUAUCAUAAAAAAAAAAUAAUCAUAAACAUAUGUAAGAUGAAAUUUCUAAUUCCUAAACCCAACUUAUCUCACUACAGCAUGUGUGUGUGAAUUAAAAUAGAUACAAUAAGCUUCUAAUAAGUAGAAAUUUUAUAAUUUUCAAAUUUAAUAUUACUAAUACUUUAUUUUAAUUUGAUUGAUUUUGUUUGUUUUGGUUUUAAUGACUUGUAUCUAAUGAUUUCUUACUAAAGUUGAGUUUUUAUUUAUUUAAUUUGAUAUUAACAGUAGUUGUUUAAAAUUUGCUUGUUGAUAUUGUUGACAAUACUUGUUUAUUGAUUAAAAGAUGAAGUAAAGGCAUUGAUCUUAGUGAUAGUGAUUUUGCCUAUAAUGGAAAUACUUUGUGCUAAACUAAUAUAUUUUUGUAUAUUUGUUUUAUUGUUGAAUUUUUAAUUUCUUAUUUGAUAAAAUCUAGAUUUGAGUAUUGCAUGCGGAUUUUUUAGGCUGUUGUCAUAAUUUAUAGUUUGAAUUAUAUAAUUUAUUUUUUUAUAUAUUAUUAAAAGUAUUUUUUAAUAUUUGUGAUUUUAAAUGAGAAAACAAGCAAAAAACCUGCUGCGACUGCAAAUAGAUUUGAUAAUUGUUAAAACCCGCAAGGACUGAUUUUUUUAAGAAAAUAAAAACCACUAUGGGUUGCAAGCAAAUUUAGUGAUUUAAAUUUUUUGUCGGUGCUUAUAAAAAAAAUAUUUUUUUUUUGUCGGUGCAGAUUUUGUAACGGCAAAUCGGUAGUAGGCAGUAACCAUUGUCAUCCGUACUUAAAUUUGUUAGUUUCUUAUGUUUAAUAAUUAAUAGUUAUUUUAUAAUAUUGCGUAAAUGGAGAAGUGUGAUAAAAUAAUAGAGAAUUAAGGAAUUUGUACCGUAGAACUAAGCUUCAAAAAAUACUUUUUGCACUCUAUAACUAAAAUUCAAUUGUGGUGCAGUGACAAGUAUGUCCAAUCACAUUUAAUUUCUUUGGGUUGAUAUUGACGGAAUUUCAGGUUAAAUAUCAGGAUCAGGCUACGGUACCACAGUGGUACCGUGCCACAUCCUUUUGUCUAUUUUCAUAUAAUCUCUUUCACUCUUUUUUAUUUAAACUUUACUUUACAAAUAUUAAGUUAAUUUCAACUGCAUCCAUGUGAACAUUAAAAUCUAAGUGUUUAAUUGACUGCUGUACCGUACAUCCGCCUUGGCCGUACAGCAGGCAUCCAUGUGAACAUUACCGAAAUACCCAUGCCGACCAACAGUGACCGAAUUUCAACUGACGGCGACGGGAAACUUGAGUUAGACACUUCUGGCCGAGCUGAGUCCAACGGUGGCGGUGGUGACCUCUCAACGGGAAACUCGAGUUCGACACUUUUGGCCGAGCUGAGUCCAACGGUGGCGGUGGUGACCUCUCACGUGUGGUGAUGGCGCCGGAUCGAGCUCCCAAAGCUGUGAAUCCUUCAACGACCGAUCAAUGGUAAAUCGGCUCCCACGGUGGCUGUGAUUGGUCGGAAAAUACAGAGGGAAUCGUGGGGAGCAAAACCCAAGUGAUAGCGUCACCAGAAACCAGAGAAAUCGCGGCGAAUUGAAGCGGCGGUUCCACGGCUUUUCACGGCUUCAAUCGGCAGCUUUCCGAACGCUUUUCGGCGACAAGAUUGGCAUGGAGAUGACCGGCAUCGCACGAUCUUCCAAUCGGUACCAACCUUGGCCGGUGAAGUGGCCGGAAAUGGAAAUAGCAUCCGGGUCGGGUUUGUGGGUUCGGCAUGGGCAUUUCAGUUCACAGAGGGGGUAUUGUGAUAUAAGUGCAAUAUAAAAUAAGAAUUUGUAAAUAAUAAAUAGUAUAAGGUGCUAACUAAAAUGUUCAUAUGGAUGCAGUAGAUGUUAACUUAAUAUUUGUGAAUCAAAGUUUAAAUAAAAACGAGUAAAAGGGGGUUAUAUGAAAAUGUACAACCCUGCAGCCACAAACGACAAAGGAUGUGGCACGGUACCACUGUGGUACCGUAGCCUGAUCCUAAAUAUCAAUGCUUAGUUUUUGUCUAACCUUGUUUUACGAAGUUACCGUUGGCAGUGCUAAAAAUAUAGUGAAAAAUGGAAACACGGUACCAACAAAUAAUUAAAUAUUCCUUCUAAAAUCCUCUCACCCUUAUGGGGAAUUUCGGGAUAAUUUAAUCCAACGAAAUCUUAGUAAAUUAAAUCGAAUGAAACCUAAAUAUGGUAAAAAUCAAGAAAUUGCAUAUAUAUUCAAUUCUUUUACGUAUCUUUUCCCAUUGGAUAUUGCUAAGAGAAUCUCAUUCCAUAAUUUGUAAAUAAACAUAACAAACCCUUGUGAUAAAAGUUUACUACACCGUUUAUUUUAUGAUUUGUUUAGAGGAAAGCUUAUGGUAGAAUUCAUCAAGAGCGAUAGUAAAGAACACUGUUGAAGUUCUUACAUAUGCUAUUUCUUCAUAAACCAUACUUAACCAAUUUUAAUCCCAAUAUUAUCAUUGUUGAAUUUUAAAUAAGCCAAACUUUUUAAUUGAGUGUUGGAACAAUUUGAUAAUUAAGAAUUUACUACACUCAUGGAUUUACAUUAUUUGUGUAUCAUUUUAUUUUUGUUCCAUUGCUUCAACAACCCAUGCAUAUAAAACAGUGGAAUAUUUUCGUAAUUACUUGCUACUUUAAUUCGUAGACAUAUAAAAUGCAAGUUAUCUGGAUAUUAAAUUUUGAUAUAUAGAAUUUUAAAACAAUUUAUCUUCAAUUUUAAGAGCCCCAAGCAUUAUCUGAAUUAUUCAUAUUACACUAGUUAAUUAUCUAGUACAACUAUGAAUUGCACUUUUCGUACGUAAUUAAUACUCAACCCUUUUUUAAUUAAGAUUGUUUAUCUACAUAGUUAAAUUAGUAAAAAUAAUCUAUUAUUAUUUAAUAUACAGAGACUAUUUAGCUGGUUGGUCCACUGAUAAGCAAGAUCCUAAAAUCUCUAUCCUUUAAUGCAUCCCAAAAUAGACAAACUUUAUGAAUUCUCAAAUUGGUAGAUAAGACAUUCAAAAAAGGAACAAAUAUCGCUGUUACCCAAAAUGCGAAAUAUUUUUAAGGUCGCGUAUGCUAAAGUUUAGGGGAUUGAUAACUAUAUAUAAACCCAAAAUCUAAUAAAAUACAAACCCUAGUUGAAAAGUGCAUUGAAGAAUGUUUAUAUUUUUUUUACACAUGAAUUUUUUUUACACAUGAAUUUUUUUUACUUCUCCUAACAAGACACAAUACAUUAAUAGAAGACUUUGAUGAAAGAAACAAUGAGAAAGUGUUCUCAUUGUGGGCACAAUGGCCACAAUUCAAGAACGUGUCACGCAAAGGGUUGUUUUAAACUUUUUGGUGUCAAUAUUUCGGAUCAAAUCCAAGACCUUCCAUCUAUGAAAAAGAGUGUGAAGAAGAGUUAUAGCGUGGGAAAUUUACAGUCUCUUGGUGGGGAGUUUAAUGGUGAUGUUGAUGAAGGGUAUCUCUCUGAUGGGCCAAUUCAUACCAAACAUGAAAGGAAAAGGGGUACGUGGAAAAUUUAUUUAUCUAAUUUUGUAUUGCCCAUUUUCAUUUAGCUGAUUUUAAUUGGAUCAAAACUGUGACUCGUUUGAGCCACGAUCGUUGUUUGGGCAAACUUUGUUAUCAAACUAUUACUUCUUUACUUUCACAAAGAAAAAUUAUUAAUUAGUUCCCUUUUUCAUGCAUUUAAAUUUUGUUAGUAGAUUUAUUGCCAACUAUAUUUUUUUGUUUUGUUUUGUUGAAGUCUUGUUUGUUUAGCAGGUGGCUAUUUAAUUUAUUAAUAAAUAUGUUUAUGUUGAUGUAUAAGUUAAUGUUUAUAUAAUGUAUUCUAUUGAAUAUUUUCAUCAUUGGUGCGUACUUAAUUAUUGAAUUUAUUGUAAAGGGUAUAUGCUAAUCAAGCCCUUCGAGGUUUCUAGCUAAUUCCAAAUUGGCACACAGUAACCAUGGCACUUUGGAGCUAAAUUUUGAUAGCAAAUUUUUACAGGUCUUACAACAAGUCAAUAUCUUGGUCCCAUGUAUGAAUCUAUUUUAUAAAAAAUAUUAAACAAAUUGUGGGCAUAUUUUCUAAAAGUACAAUGUCACUGGUUGUAUAAUCUCCAAUGUGCCUUGAUGUAACUUUUGUGUUUAUUUAGGCAAGCCAUGGACAGAAGCUGAACAUAGAGUAUUUUUAGAGGGUUUAAAGUUGCUUGGAAAAGGUGAUUGGAAAGGAAUUUCAAAGAAUUUUGUGACGACAAGGACCCCGACGCAAGUUGCUAGCCAUGCACAAAAGUAUUUUCUUAGACAAGCCUCAAGCGAUAAGAAAAAUCGUAGAACGAGUCUCUUUGACAUGCCCUUGAAAGAAUCAGUAUAUCUCUCUUGCUCUGUCUCAAUUAACAAAUGGUUAACUAACAAGCUUGAUUUGAUGGGUUUACGUACACUGCAGGCUCCUUCUCAUCCUUCACUCAUCUUAGUGAAAGCUCCUCCAGCAACUGCAUCUUCUUCACAAGUAAGCUUAAAUCUGUUUUUUUUUUUUUUCAUUUGAUUUAAUUCACUAUUUUGGUAAUUAAGCUUAAUUACUUUCAUUAGUAAGUGUCCCCUCUCUCGAUUGCCACCAACACAGGUAAUUAGAUUUCUUAUAUAUACAUAUAGAAUAUAUCAAUUUAUAAUAAUAUUGGUCAUUUAAUUAAAUCUGAUAUAUAGGGUAGUACCUCAAGUCAGGCUAUGAAUGGCUUUCCAAAUCUUUGCUCGGAUCUUGUUGUUCCAGUGCCUGCGACUACUGGCCUUGCCUACUAUCAUCAUGGGAUCCCAUAUAUGGUAAGAAUCAAUUUGAUUUAAUUAACCAUCUUAUAUUUCCUUUCCCAUUUUUUCCCUUUUUGUUGUCUUCUGCACUAGUUUCUCCUAAGAAAUUGCUUGUUCGUUUUAUUUUCCAUUUUGUUUGUAGAACUACUUCGACAUAUAAUAGCUUGACUAUUUUAUCUUUUAACAUUUAUAUUGUUACUCAAUAAUCACUAUUCGCAACUCCUAAAAAGACCAAUAUGUACGUGAAUCUAAAUCUUUAUUGUUAAUAUUAGAAUUGUAACUGAUGGGUCAUCGGCUAAUGGUUAUACGAAAAUAAGUGUAUAAAUCUUGUGAUGCUUUCAACGAACUAAUCCUUUUAUGCCACGUUAGCUAUCAUCUCAUCAAAUUGUGCAGGAAAUUUUUUAUAACAUGCAGUUUGUAGAUGCAUAAUUGAUGUUUUCAUUAAAAUGCGGGAUCACUUGUUUUUAAAAUGUCUUGCCUCUACAGUACCCAGUCCCUUGCAAUGGUCCGAGUAAUAUUGUUAAUUCAUCUCAAUCAUUCAUUUCUGAUCAGAGGCCAAAUUAUUACGCCUGCAUGCCAAUGCCGGCAGGAAUGCAUAAAAGUUUAACUCGUGCACCACAGUCAUCUCAGCGCAGCGUGAGGACUACUCAAGAAUGCCCAAAACUCUCAAUGGAAAGAGAUUUUUUGGAUCUUAAAAUUGGACUCCCUCGAUCUCCAAAAACAGCCAGAUUCAUCAUCUAAGAGCUUCGGAAUAUAUAUAUAGUCAUAGUAUGAAAUUUUUGUUUUUUUUUUCUUUUUCAAAUAUGGUUGAAUUUUGUACUUUAUUAAUAAAGUUGAGAUUAUAAUUUCUUUUGGCAGUAGAUUUUCAAAAAUACUAAUCUCACAUUCUCAUGAUCACCUCAUUUUUAACCUCCAUUUCCUAAUAAAUUUAUCAACGAUCAAAUAAAGAAUCCCAUUAAAGGAAUGCUUUUAUUUAGCCGCGUACAACAUACUUGCUUUUGUAUAAUUUUAAUGGAUUAAAAUUAUAUUUGUAUAUAUGUAAAUUUUAGUUUGGAUUAAAAUUUUAAAAACAAUAUUGCUAUUAGAUAUUUAAAAUUUUAAAAACUUAUCUGCGAUCCACCUAAGGUUUGUUAAGUGUAUUGCCAAAUAAUCAUUUUUCCAUUUUACCCCUUAUAUUUACAGAAUACUUUGACACAAUUUUUCAACCUCUUUACACAAUGCAUGACAUAAUUUUUCAACCUUAAAUUCCAUAAAAAACAGUCAGGUCUCAUAGAGAUUUAUAUAUAUUUUAAAUGUUGAAAAAUUGUGUCAUAAAAUUAAGGGGCAUGAAUCCAUCCUCAUCUAUUUUACUUCAAGGUUAGCCAAACCUAUUUUAUUUGUCCAAAAACUUAUAUUUGACCAUUUAUUAAUCUUAUUUAAUUUCUCACUGCAGAGAGUAUUAGUGCAUGACAACUUCGUCAUAUGUGCUAUUGCUUUGGAUAUUUGGUCAUUGACUGUAUGUUACCUGUCAAUGCUUAUAUUUUUGAGAGCUUCAAUUUUUUCGAAGAGUAACAAUAAAUAUCUUAAAAUUUUAUUCUAAAUUAAAUAUCAAUAAUGUGAAAUUUGAUGCAUCAUUCCAUGAGUGAUUAAUAUUUUUUGACAAUUUAAGAAAAAUCAAUAAAAUACACUAACAUAAGAGAAGAGAAGUGUCGGCCGUACACCAAAUUCUGUAUCUGAAGCUUCUUUACGAGUUCUGUAAAGUUGAUAAUGGUUUGUAAUAAAAGCCAUGUACGUAGCAGUCGAUUAUACCGUUACGUUGAGCAUUAAUUAGUUCCUUUCUUGAAAGAAGAAGGAAAAUUUGGAAGGUUUAUUUUGUCUUAAUAAUAAUUAUUUCUUCCUUUUCCUAUUUGAUAAAGGGAUCGAUGUUAAGAUCACAAUCUAUGAGAUAGUUUAUUGUUAUUAUUAAUUAUUUAUUUUUAGUUCACUACUUCUUUCCAUUUUAACUUGUAGCUAGUACCCUUGCGGGUUCCAAAAGUAUUAAUGGAUCUAACUUGUAAUGGUUGUUUUAGAUAUCCGUAUUAUAUGCGUAUCAAUAAGAGAUCUCCAAAAACAUCCAAUAAUGUUAUAUUUUGCACUUGCAUAACAGGAAUCGAAAAUCCUAUAUAAUAAGCCCAAGAAAGCUUUUGCUAUUGCUGUUGUUAAUGCAUUAUUUUCUCUUCUUCAUAAGUAUCACAGCACACUACUCAACUCAUCAUCCUAUCGAAAAUAUGUGUAGGAGCAAGGGUUGUGUUAAACUUUUUGGUGUGAAUAUUUUGGAGCAAAAGCAAGAUCAUGAAUCCAACAGAAGCAGUAGUGUUACUAGCUUCGCAAAUUUGCAUUAUCUUGAAGAACCCAAUGUGCAAGUUAAUGCGGAGUCUCUCUGUGAAGGCCAGCAGCUUAACUUUAAGAGACGCAAAGUUGUGCGUGAAAAACGUAAAAGUAUGCUAGCGAUCUUGUUCUUUUAUUGUGUUUUAUUUAUCUAUUUGUAUUUUUUAUUUUGAUUAGUCUGAACUAAUAUAUAAUUUAUAUGCAUAUUUUUUUAAUCGUUGCUAUUCCAUAUAUAAUUUUUGUUAAUUGGUUGAAUCAAUAUAUAUACGUAUAUGUACAAAUUUUCGCACUGAUUUGCUAAUUAAUAAGAGUAUCAACUUUUACCUAUCGAUAGUUUUCCAGCUUAAUUAAUAUUUUUGGGAUUUUUUUUUUAAUUUCUGAAUCUCAUUUAUUUUGCAAUCCACUCUUUGAUCAUGUGGUAGACUCUUUCUCACCUCAUUAAUGGUUUGAACAUCCAUGUGUAUUUCGUGGGACUAUGAGAAUAUAUUUUCUCUAUUUUCAUGAGUGAAUCAACAAUGUAUUGGUCAAUUAAGUCUUGGUGACAAGCUAAUUCCAAAUUGGCCAUAAACAGUAAAAUGGCACAUAUACAAUGGGCUAAGCGUAUCAUCUUGAUUUGUAUCGUUUGUGUUUAAUUAUAUAGGGAAGCAGCCAUGGACCGAGGAUGAGCAUCAAAAAUUUUUAAUGGGACUGAAGUGGCUUGGAAAAGGUGAUUGGAAAGGAAUUUCAAAGAAUUUUGUGACGACAAGAACCCAAACCCAAAUUGCUAGCCAUGCACAAAAGUACUUUAAUAGACAAGCCUCAUCAAGUGAUAAUAAAAAUCGAAGGACAAGCCUAUUUGACAUGCCCUUGAAAGAAGCUGUAAGUAUUCUUUCCGACUCUUAAUUUCUUAAUCAUACCUUCUUCUUAUUAAUUAAAAUGAGUUGAUGGGUUUAAAUUUCACAGGCUCCAUCUCAUCCUCAAGAUCACGAUUCCCUUGCCUCAGUUAAAAGUAUUCCUACUUCAACUUCAUCACAAGUAAGUAUAGUAUAAUCAUUUUCUUGUUUUCCUAGGAUUCCACAGUCAAUUUAUAUUUUUACCACUUCUCCAAUUUUUUUUUUAAGUUUUUGUUUUUAAUCUUUGAAUUGUUAGUGUCAUUCUAAUAAUGAUUUGAUUAAUCAAUAAAAGUUUUCAAAACAAAGUGGACAGUCAGUCUUUGGGAAAGCACUUGGUCUUUUAGUCUGAACUAAUAGAACUAAUUCAUGUAGUUUUUAUAUUUUUAAAAACUAUUUAAAAUAUGUAUGAUAUUAUUUUCAUAGUUAUGUUGUUAGAUCUUAUUAACUUUUCAAGAGUAUAAUAAUUUCAUUUUAUAUGACAAGCAACGUGAAAAUUAAAUGAUAAGUAAGUAGAAUUUAACGAAAACAUAUUUUGAAUUUCUCUUGCACUAAUAAUCGUUUAAUUAAAAUGAAAGCAGCAUCACUUAUUUUGAAUUUCUCUUGCUUAAUACAGUACCAAAUCCAUUGCCCCGCAGGAAUCUGCGAAAAUUUUAGUCCUUGUGCCCCUCAAUUGUUCCAACGCAGUAUCUCGAGAGAAACAGAUAUUUUGGAGCUUAAAAUCGGACCCCCUUGAUCUCCAGAAAUAAAUUCAUCAUCAUCUCAGAUCUUUGGAGUCGCCGUAGUAUGAAAAUUUUUGUUUUUUAUUCAUCAAAAAAAGAAAAAAAUAGCUUCUUCAAACAAAAUUUUGGUUCUACUUAAGUAGAAUAAUAAGAUAACCAUCUGACUCCAUUUUUUGAGAUUCACGCGAUGAUAAGAUCGGUAUAAGCUCAAAAUAAUAAAUAAAUAAAUAAAUGCGACAGCUAUAUAUCAAUAAAAACGUAAAAAUUUCAUGUACUAAAAAUUCCUUAAGUCGUGAACACUCGUGAAUUCAUUAUUAGCAGCCUAUACUAUUGUUUGAUUAAACAAACAUGUAAUGGCAGCUUUGAUACAAUAUUAGUUUCACUUUUUCUUUUUAUAAGAACGACAUGCGUACGUAGUAAACACAAAGCAGACGACAUAACCCUCAAAUUCAUUAGAAUUUUCAUGAGUUAAAUGAAAACUCCAAGUUACAAUCUAUUUGAGACUCUGAUGUUUAAGUUACAUUACAAAAUAUAAAAGAGAAUAGGGAUCGAAAAGUGAAAAUUAAUUCACUUUAAUUCCACUGUACCUUUGAUCAUUUCUCACUAAGCGUCUCGAAUGGAACAUGAGAACCUAUUAAUGAAGGUACAAUUUAAAGAAGUCUAAAUUGUAAUAAAAUUGAAAUUACUAUCUCAAAAUAAAGAAAGUUUAAAGACUUUAUAAAUUAUUAGAUGUUUGUGUGUACAAUUGUAAACUUAUAAACUAAAGUAAUUAGUUUGUUUGACAAGAAUAAGUGCAAAUUAAAGCCGUCAAGGCCAAGUAGUUAUUUCCUCGAGAUUUACAUAUAACAUCCAAAUGGUAAAAUUUUAUUGGUGACACAACAGUUGAGAUAAUAAGUAUAGCAUUAUUUAGCAACGAAAUUCAAUAACUAGUCCAUAUAGUUUUGUUUUGAUUGUCAAAUCAUUAAAAGCAUUUCUGUCAAAAUUCUUGACCACAUAAAAAUAAAUAAUCUAGUAGGAAUAUAAAAAUAGGUUUGUGAUUGAAAAUUAAAUAUCAAAACAUUAAGAAGAUAAUAAAUUAAUAAUCCUAUUCUAUUUAGAUUUGGACCAAAAUAAGUAAACAAGUUCAAAUUGUAAUAAAAUUGAAAUAACUAAUAAUUCAAGUCAGUUUUACUUGUUGGACAAGAAUAAGUAAGAUCUGAUAACCUAAAUAUGAUCAUAACGUUCCGAAAUUUAAUUAUGCUUUGUCUGGCACAUUUCUGUUAGUAGAAGCACAAUCAUUACUUAAGCAAUAUGUUUCAUUUAAAACAAAGUAUUGAACUGAACUUGAUUAAGCCAACUCCAGUUUUGUUUUCAAUUAACACAGCUUAACCUUAUAGAUUAUAACUUAAUAGAUCAUUCUUAUUUGAAAUUUCAGCAUCUGAAUCUAAAGCAAUAAGAUAUUGGUACAAACAGAGCAGCCAAUACAAUGUAGGGAAGGCAAUGACUUCAAACACAAGCAAGAGUCUCAAUAUAUUGAAAACCAUAAAAGAAUUUCAAUGAACCCUCAAAAUGAGGGUUUGCAAUAUCUGCUCAACCUGGAUCAAAUUCGCAGAUCUUUUCAAAAGUCUUAUCCUUAAGGUUGUAGCGUAUGGCCUUACCAGGAAUGUGCAGCACUAUACAUGACUCUGCAUCAUUUACUUCCCGGAUAACACCAAGCAUGGAAAAUGCAUAGUAGUUUAAGUCUAAUACAUCAAGAUAAUCUCUAAUCAUCUCCGGAAAUGCCAUCGUUAUUGCAUUGAGAUCAAUGCGAUGCUUCACAAACCAGCAAGAAUAUCUCUUUCCAUCUCGUAUACAUCAAACUUUGUGGUGCAAGGGCCAUAUAUCUCAACAAGAUGCAAGUGCUCUCAGGACUCCCCAAAAUACAUAAACCUCCUCCUAUCUUCCCAAUCCUCAGGAUAUGUUGGACUUGGAGGCAUUGACAUCUCUCGUAGUUGCUCCUCCUCGACUUUGAAAUGCAAUGAAGUAUAAUGACAAUCAAUCCAAUGAGUAUUACCAUUCCAGAAUACCCCGUUGAAUUGUGUAUUAACAGGUGCCAUGAAAGGAUCACCAGAGAGCCUCCAUGACCGCGUCUCAGAUGAGUAUAUUUCAAUCUGAUAGCUUAUAUAAGGACCUUCUUCAACACUUACAUAUGAAUCUGGUGACCGCACACAUGCAACUUUAUAAUGGGGCGACCUGACAGGAUCAUAAGCUGAAGUUACACCUGUUGAGAAUGUAAAAUAAAACGGCAUUGAAGGAAGUUUUUCAAAGACAUAAUCCGCACUUGUCAAAGAGAUAAUCUGCACUUGUCAAAGACACGAUCCGCACCGAACGGAUUGACACAUUUCCUUCCGUAUUCACAUAUGUAAUCUUUGAAAAAAUGUAGCAUCUGCAUCUAUAAAUAACUCUCAGUGUAUAAUGUUUCAUUUAAGAAAUGAAAACAAGUUUCUUCAUGGUAUCAGAGCCAUGAAUACGCUCAAGUUUCUUCAAGUGUCGUUGCUCUGUUUGUAACAAAAACAGAGGAAACCAAAUUCUUCUAACAACCAUUUUUCCCACCAUUUUCUUCCUUAAAACCAUUCAUACAAUUACAGAAAUCCAUGCCAAUCAAAAAACAAGCCACCCAUACGUAAAAAACUUGAGUUUACAAAUUUAUCAACAGUCUCAUAAAUUUUCCAAGAGUGUGUUCCUCAAAAACCAAGAAUACCAUCAAAUUUCUCAGUUUCCAGUAAGCAAACUGUAAAAGUUUCUCAUUUAAAUACAUUCCCACGCACUUCCACGCGCCACCCGAAACCACAGCCAGUCAACCACGUGCCUCUGUCAUAUUUCACGCGCUCUCACGCGCUACAUAGGUUGAAGAAGACUUCAACCGACAUGUCUUUUUUUAUCUCUAGAGUGCAGCAGUCAUAAAACGACGUGUCAUUUUUUAUUACAUUAAAACCGACAUGUCGUUUGUAAAGUAGAGACAAAACGACGUGACGUUUAAUCUCCAGAAGUGCAGCAGUCCUAAAACGACAUGUCGUUUCUAUUCCAUCAGAACCGACAUAUCGUUUCGUCAAGCAGAGGCCAAACGACUUGUCUUUUUUUUUUUUUUAUCUAAAAAGGUUAUUUUUUUCUUAUUUCAAUCUAGACACCAAAAAAAAAAAAAAACAAAAACAAAACAAAAAAAAAAGAAAAAAGAAAAAGGAAAAAAAAAACAAAAAAUGGAGAAAACUCCAACUGGAUCUGCUCCUGUUGUCAUUCAAUCUGUUCAAUCUGAUGGAGUACUUAAUGCUGGAAUUAUCCUCACUGAGACAAACUACGAUGUUUGGUCUCAAAUAAUGGAGAUGCAUCUUGCAGAAAGAGAAAAACUCUCAUAUAUUCGUAACAACACAAAUUCAUCUGAGGAAUCUUCAAAGGAAUAUGAGAAAUGGUAUAGUGAGAACCAAAAAGUGAAAUAUUUCGAGAACUUGAUCACCGAGAUAAAGUGGUCAUGAAGGAUCCAGAAGAUGUUGUAAUAUACAGAAGGUCUGUUGAAAGAUUGAGAGUGCACAUUUUUCUUGCUGGGCUAGAUGAAGAAUUUGACCAAGUUCGUGGAGAAAUUCUAUGAAAACAUAUUAUCCCAGACUUAGAAGAAUAUUAUUCUCUGAUCCGAAGAGAAGAUGUACGGCAAAGCAAACUAAACAAGAAGGUCGACUCAGAAACAUCUGCUAUGAUAGCACGACAGCAGCCUCAAAGGAAGUUUGUUGACAAGUCAUCACUCCAUUGCACUCAUUGUAGAAAGAAGGGUCAUACGAAAGAACAAUGUUUUGAAAUCAUUGGAUAUCCUGACUGGUGGGAUACUCGAAAAAAGAACACCAAGCAUGGAUUAAAAACUGCAGUAGCUGAAUCCACAUCCACUACAAAUCUUAAAAAGAAUCUUCAGUGCAAAUCGCAACCUCUGUCAGUCCAGGUAAGGCCCUUAAAACUCUUACACCUGUUAUUAAUAGUACAUGGAUAAUUGAUUCUGGGGCAACUGAUCAUAUGACUUUUGAUUCUCGACAAGUUUCUCAAUUGAAACCAUCUUCACAAAAACAUAUUUCCACUGCAAAUGGAACCACAACCUCAGUUAUUGGGGAAGGAUCUUUACGACUCACAGAUAAAUUAAAUUUAGACCUGUGUUAAUUGUUCCAUCUUUAGAUUAUAAUCUUUUAUCUGUGUCUCAAUUAACCACUUACUUAUCAUGUGUUAUAAUUUUUUGGCCUGAUCAUUGUGUGUUUAAAGACAUCCAAACGAAGCAAACAAUUAGUUAUGGUAUUAGACGAGGUAACUUAUACUACUUGGAGAUGUCAUCAACAAACACUGGAAAGCUAAGCCCCGCACUAGUCGCAGAUAGUUCCAUAAAAAAAGGAAAAUCAGAAAUUUGGUUAUGGCAUAGACGUUUAGGGCAUGUGUCAUUUGGUUACUUAAAAAAAAUUAUUUCCUAGUUUGUUUCUGAAAUUUGAUGUUUGUAACUUUAAAUGUGAUGUUUGUGAACUUUCAAAAAGCCAUCGAACUAUUUUUCCAUUGUCUUUAAAUAAGAAUCCAGUUUCUUUCAUGGUAGUACAUUCUGAUGUAUGGGGGCCAUCUAAAUGUGAUGUUGAGAAUGUCGAAUAAAACAGCAUUGAAGGAAGUUUUUCAAAGACAUAAUCUGCACUUGUCAAAGGGAUAAUCUGCACUUGUCAAAGACACGAUCCGCGCCGAACGGAUUGACACAUUUCCUUUCGUAUUCACAUAUGUAAUCUUUGAAAAAAUGUAGCCUCUGCAUCUAUAAAUAACUCUCAGUAUAUAAUGUUUUUUUUAAGAAAUGAAAACAAGUUUCUUCAACACCAUGGAUAAUUCUGCCACUAGGUGGAGGAAGUAUAACAAAUUGCUUUGUAGUAGGAUCGCAAAUGUAACAGUCAUGUUCCAAAUGUCUAUCACAGAAGCUGGAACAACAUAGUGACCCAUGACAAGAAUUCUAAAUACGUAAACCUGAAGGAUGUUUCAAAAAGUUAAGGCAUUUAAAGGGAGCAGUAAUUGGCUUGUUUGUAAGAGGAACAAAAUCGUGUUCUGGGUUGAUGAGACAAGAACUUCUAUGCAAGAUGAGGCCUGAAACUAAAUAGCUGUCGGGGUAAAGGUGGCCAGAGAAUUGAGGACUGGAAAUGAGGGGAGAGCUAGUGUUUUGAAACACAUUUGAAUCUGAAAAUAGAUUUUGUGGGUAAACAAACAAUGAUUUCUAUUAAGAGAUCAUCAUUAUUUGCAAUGACAAAUGACGAUAACUUCCUUUUGCCAAAAGACAUAUUUAAAGCUUCUCAUGGCAUCAUGAUCUAUCUCUCUUUUAUUCUUAUAUACUCUUAAUAUGUGAACAAUGUGACUAUGCUUAGAUUGCUCAGUACGUUAUAUUGUUCUUAUAAUUGAUAACAAGCAAUCGACAACAUUUGGUAGGUGCAGAUUGUCACACCCAAAAAGGAAAAAUGUUUGAUAACUCAAAAGAAAUGGUUAGUUAGUAUAAGCAAGUGUUAAAAUAUUUCCCCUUCACCAAUUAUUACAAGUUUUAGAUGUUUAAACGGUGUUGUAUAUUUUGCACUAUGACAAGCAAGGAAAAUAUUAUGUGAAAAGUGGAUACCAAAUAGCCCAGAAAUUAAGUUUUCCAUCUCCUCCUAGUGGUUCAAGGACUACAUUAGAGGUGUAGAAAACUUUGUGGUCUCUCACUUUACCAGCUAAGGUAAGGAACUUUAUGUGCAGGGCUGUCCAAAUGUGCUUCCUACAGCAGAAAAUCUGUGGUAUAAGAAGAUUAUUCAUGAUCCCAUUUGUCAAGUGUGCAAAAGACAGGCUGAAAGUAUUUUACAUGCUCUGUUAAAAUGCAAGGUGGUCAGGAAAGUAUGGAAAUUGGCUCAUUUUGCUGGAAAAAUUUGAACUUGGUGGAGCAACCAAUGAUGUGUGUGAUGCAAGACAUGGUCGAGAGUUUAAAAAGAACAGAGAUGGCGCUAUUAAUUGCAAUUUUGCUGGGCUGCUUGGCAUGCCAGAAACGUAUUCAUUUUUUAGGCAAAACAGGUGGAUCCCUUGAUUACUGUAGCGAAGGCAAAAGCCAUUAUAGAGUCUUACAGGAGGUUUAAGAUCCCAAGCUCAAACCAUUUAGUGAAUAGGGAAGAUUCAAGUCAACCAAAUUGGUGCCCUCCACCAAAAGGUUUUGUAAAGAUAAAUGUGGAUGCAGCAACUAAUGUUGAAAAACAGGCUGCUGGUUUAGGAGUUGUGGUGAGAGAUUGUAAUGGAAGCUUUGUAGCAGCUGCAGUGAAGAAGGUCCAAUUCUUUGGGGAUGUUCAGCAAGCUGAAGCAGAAGCUAUUGCCUGGGAAUGCAAGUGGCUAAGGAGACUGGCACAUCAUCAGUAAUUAUAAAUACUGAUUCUGAAGGGGUAGCUGACUUAGUAAACAAGAAGAAGGACAGCAGAACUCCUAUUUUCUGGGUUAUAUCUGAGAUUCAAGAACUUAUUAAUGAGUUCAUUGAGUGUAAAGUUAAAUUUGCUCCCAGGCCUUGUAAUGUAAAGGCUCAUCAAUUAGCCAAACUUGCCUUGGAGUAUAAGGAGUCUGCAAUCUGGCUGGAUUUGUUCCCAGCAAAUGUAAUGUAUAUUCUUCAAGUUUUGAGUUAAUGAAGGUUAUAAUUCCGUUAAAAAAAAAAACGGUGUUGUAUAUUCCUUGAAUUGACUUUGAUAGUUUAUUCAUUACAACUUACAAACUUGAUGCUAUGAAUCACCGUUUUUAGUAAUCUAAAUGAUUAAAAAAAUAUCAACUCCGAUCAAAAUCAUCCCAAAGACUUUAUUAAAUUAUGAGGUCGUCCAAUGAGGUAAUUGGGUUGCCUUAGCUUAAUAAUUUUUUAUUAGAGGAAAAAAUGUGCUAAGAUGCUCGGGAUCCUACAAGGAGUUUUUCUUAAUAAUCUGAAAGAGGAUAAGAGAGUUUGGAAUUUAGAUAAAUCAUGAUGUUUCUCUACGAAAUCUUACUUUCUUAGCCUCAUAGAUAAACACGAUGGCCUCUCAUUUUCUCAUUUUCUCCUUCUUACCAAUAAACACGAUGGCCUCUCAUUUUCUCCUUCUUACCAGAUUUGGAAAGCUAAAGUCCCUACCAAGGUGAAGAUGAUGGUUUGGUCUGUUGCUCAUAGAAAAAUCAACACAAAUAACAUAGUUCAAAGAAGGAGACCUAAUAUGGCUUUAUUUCCAGAUUGGUGUGUCGUUUGUAAAAACACUUGAGAGAAUGUUGAUCGUCUUUUCUACAUUGUACUGCUGCUUACAUUUUGUGGUCUAACUUGUAUAAGAUCUUUAAUCUAAGCUGGUCAGCCCCUAUAUCAUGUUACUCCCUCCGAUUGGAAAGUUUUUCUUGCUUAAAAAGGACAAAAAAAGCAAGGAUUUUAUGGGACUGUGCAGUCUUGGCUAUUUUUUGGAUUGUGUGGAAUGAAAGAAACCAAAGAAUCUUUUAUAACAAAACUGGAGAAGAUCCUUCACACCUAUGGGACAAAGUGAAGUUUUGGAUUUCCCUCUGGACAUCUAUAACUACUGAAUUCAAAUACAUUUCUUUCUUUUUUAUUUUGCUUAAUUAGCAAGCUUUUGUUAGAUGCACUCUUAGUGAGCUAGUGUUUUUGAGUUUUGGAAUAUUUUUGUCUUUGCAAUUUCUAAGUGUUUUGUUUAUUUUGGGACUUCUCAUCCUUAUUUUGUGGAUUUGUAGUCCUCCUAAUCCUUGUACAUAUUUCUUAUAGUUUGAUUUAAUCUUUUGUUUCUUAGAAAAAAAAAAAAACAUUCACACAUUUGGUAUAAAAUUCAACAAGCAAAAUGAAAGCAUUACUUGAAGCAAUUACUCAUUCCAUUCGUUAAUACCAUGCACACCAUGAAAAUUGCUUCAAAAUGUACUCAAAACAAUGAAUUUCAAAUGCCAAAUAAGCUAAUUGAAGAGUCCAACAGGUACAUCUGGCCAUUUCAAAUAAGAAAUUUAACCCCACGACUAGAACAGAAAAGAGACUGCUGGCUUACAUUUCAUAUCAAUUUAAAAAAUUAUCUUCAACUAAAAAGCAAGCAAAAUCUUAUCUCUCUCUCUCACAUCAAACAAAAAUAGUAGCUUUUUUUUAACUUCAUAGAUCAAUCAUACUUGAAACUUAUGUUGCAAUAGCUCAAUUAAUGUUUAGGAGCCCAUAUCAUCCAAAAGGGGCAAGAAUCUCAAUAUAAUGAUAAGCAUGAGACCACUCAAAUUUUAGUUGAGAGCCAUUAAUAACUUCAUGACCUGGAUCAAAAUCACAGAUCUUGGUGAAAGUCUUGUCAUUAAGGUUGUAGCGUAUUGCCUUACCACGUAUGUGCAGCACCAUAUAUGACUGUUCAUCGUUUGCUUCUCGAAUAAUACCAAGUAUGGAAUAUUCAUGAUAAGCGGAAGGUUGUUGAAAAUCAUCCAGACUUGCAUCAAUCUCUGGAAAUGCAUUUAUUAAAGCGUCAAGAUUGACAUGAUACUUGACAAACCAACCUGAAUAGUCUCUUUUCAUCUCAUAGACAUUAAACUUUUUUCUACAACGAUCAUUAUUUACAACAAUAUGUAAAUGCUCCUGAGACUCUCCAAAACAGACAACGCUUCUACCUAAUGCUUCUGCUACCAUCAUUCCUAAUCUUUCUAUCAAGUUUGAAGGAACUUGAAAUGGAGGCAUUGGCAUUUCUUGGAGCUGCUCCUCGUCAACUUUGAAACACAAGCACGAAUAAAAAGGAUCAAUCCAAUGGAGAGCACCAUUCCAAAAUACUCCAACUUUGUGCUUCAAAUUAUAUAGCAAAACAAAAGGAAGACCAGAGAGCCUCCAAGAGCCUGUCUGAGAUGAGUAAACCUCAAUCUGAUAACUUACGCCAGCAUUCCCAUUCUCUUCCAAUGGAUCAGAACAGAUGCAGACAAUUUUAAAGUGGGAAGAUUUGGCAGGAUCAUAAGCUAAGCCAAUUCUAUGGAUAACUCUUGACAUUUCAUCUACAAAAGGAGGAAGUCAAACAAGCUGAUGGGACGUAGGAUUGUAAAUGUGAUAAUCACACGGUAAAUUACUAUUGCUUGUAGAGCUUGAACAAAAGAGUAGGCCAUUACAAGAUUGCAAGAUACUUAACCCCAAGGGGUGGUUCGCAACAGUGAGAGACCUAAAUGGAGCGCUUAUUAACUUGGCACCAAGAGGAAGGAAAUCAUAUUCUGGAAUACUGAGACGGCCAUAAGUUCUGUGCAGGAUAAGACCUGAGACAAGGUGGGUGUCAGGGUAAAGACGGCGGGUGAAGCAAGGACUGGAAAUUAAAGACUGCCAGUGUUUAGAUACACAUUUGAAUUUCAUAAGAGAUUUUACGGGUGAGCGAACUAAAAUUUCUGUUAAGAGAUCUACAUUAUUAGCUAUGGCCUCAGAGGGAGACAUAGUUGGGAAUUUUGAAUUAGACAUCGUAGUUGAAAAUUUUGAAGCGACACUAACGAUAGGAACAGUAGACAAUCCUAAUGGUGCAAUGAAAAGGAACUAUUAGACUAAAUCUCAUGAACAAGAUAAGAGUUUCUACACAGUAAAUUAAGUAAAGAAAUUUAACCUAAAUGAAAAUGAGUGCCGUUACCCAAGUGCAAGUUACAUUUCUGACUCCACUCCACAAAUCCACGCAGCAACAACAGCUAACUCAAAAACCCCAUUUCGCUAUCCCAUCAUCAAAUUGAAAAUUGAAACCCUAAAGUCCCAAAGAUACCACGCUCGCCCACUGUUUCUUCUUUGUUUUCCAAAUUCUGCUUACCAACUUUCACACCAGCUUCUGCAUUUAACAAUUCACACGGCCUCUGCCUCGUCAAUUUUUUCGAAGUGUUUUUUUUUUAAAAAAAAAAAACAAUUAGACCGGCAAUUCAUUAAACACAAUUGAAAUUCAUCGUCAAGCGUCACAUCGCCGGCGGCUGCAAAUGACAGACCAAUCACAAAUAAGCAAAUGAGAGUUGCCAUGCGACGCGCCAUCGCCAUCUCAGAAAAAAAAAAUCUAAGUGUUUAAUUGAAUUUUCAUUUAAAACAAGAAAUUAAUUAAUUUGUAUUAGGUUAUUAAAGUAAUUUCAGUUAAAAAAAAUAAAAGGAAUUUUGAAGGGUAUCAAAAGGCCAACUCUUGCAGAUAAUAUAAAUGGCAAAACGAAAGGAACAGCACAUGGUCUCCAAAAGCCUUACGGAAAUUAAGAGAAGUAGAGAACCUCAAGUUUGAAGCCUCCAUUGACUACUCUUUCUUCAUUUUCUUACUUCGCCUUAAAAAGGUGGUCGCAUUUUUAAGUUUAUAAAGUAAUGCUUUGAUCUUCUAAAAUCUGUGUUAAUUACAAUUGAGUCGUGUAAAAUUCUUGAUACAUUAAUAGUUUCUCUUGUUCACAACUAAGCAAACAACAAGGUGAAAUGGAGAGUGUGUUUAACAUUUUGGUGUCGAAUUUUUGGAGCAAAAGCAAGAUCAUGAAUCCAACAAAAGGAGCAACAGUUUCAAAUGCCGCAAAGUCGGUGCAUGAAAGUAAAAUAAAAUACACAUACACCGCUCAGUAAUUUGAUUUUCAAACAAUUUUCUUUGACUAAUCUUAUCUUCUAGUUAUUUUGAUCGUUAUGAAACUUUCUUUAACCGGUUACCCAAGUUCAAAUUUCGUGGUUAAGGGGCUAAAACCUUGGAAAUUUUACAGAAUAUGAAUUGGCCGUCCCGUUAUUUCAAACAGGUCCCAGAAUUUCAACUGCUACAUCUCAAUUAGUAGUUGAACGAGCAAGUAUAACAGACAUAAGGUUCAUAUUUAUCAACAAAGCAAAGAAAUGCUUGACUAGUAUGUAUGAUGUUUGGGCAUGUUUGAAUCUUCUGGCUGGCAAUAUAUUUUACCCCAAGUCCUUCUAGAGACAAUCAGUUAGUUUAUACAAUGUUUCCAAGAAAUUGAAUCUCUGAAUGGUAUCAAGAAAUAAUAUGAAUUGCAACAAAAACGAAAGAAAAAGAACAAUUUAAUAACAUUUGCCACUAUCAAGCAACACAUCAUUUGUACAUGCCAUAUAAUAGUAAUAUAGACUGAAAGAAUUGAAAUUUCACAAUAACUUACAAAAACUAGUAAAGCAAUCCGUCAUAUGAUUCAUGGGGUAGGAAUAGUUUUUCACUGGUUCCUACAACGUGAUUGAGAAAGCUACCCAUAAAUAAAUGCACGCAAUGAAGGAUAAGACAAAUGAUUAAGUUGAGCAGCAGCUGGCCUUCUGGUUCACCGGUUGUCCUUUUAUCUGCACAGUUGGUGGCCUUGCAUUGUUCAUUGCAGGUUGACUUGCCAUCCUACGCAGAAGAAAAACAGGUAAAUCAUUAACAAGAAACCACAACAAUAGUAAAUCCUGAUCUAUAUGUAAUAUAAUUGCGUGCCACAAUCAUAACAAAUUUUCUGAUGAAGUUGUUUAGUUCACUGAUUGAAAAGUAGCACCAAUUUUUUUUUAACACAAAGUAAGAAAAACUUCACACACUCUCAACAUUCUUGAGUAAUAAAUAUAAUUACAAAAUGUGUUACAAUGAAGAUCUACCUGUUCUUAAUGUCAGCAGUCAUAGCCAUAAAAGCUUGUUCCACGUUCAAAGAAUCCUUUGCGCUGGUCUCCAUGAACGGGAUGCCAAUUUCAUCAGCAAAUGCCUUUUGAAAUCCCAAACAAUAAGAUACAACAGGGUCAAUUGCAUUUUCAAUAAUUUUGUCAAAGUAAAUACAUAAGAUAUCUGAGGGAUGAGAAUAAUUUCACCUUCGCUGUUUCAUAAGAGACAACUUUCUUAUCAGUGAGAUCACACUUGUUUCCAACCAGAAGCUUGUUUACAUUUUCACUUGCAUAGCGAUCAAUUUCAUUCAACCACUGCUUAACGUUGUUGAAGCUCUCUUGGUCUGUAACAUCAUAAACAAUCUGCCAUACAUGCCAUCAAUUCAAUGAAAGUAGCCACACGCUAACAAAGGGUAGAACUGUGAGAAAUAAAAAUGAAACUAAGAGUUAAAGGAAAACUUACAAUAAUGCCAUGUGCUCCACGGUAGUAGCUGCUAGUGAUUGUCCUGAAUCGUUCUUGCCCUGCAGUGUCCCACUGCAUGUUCAAAACAAAUGAAAUCACUAGCUAUAAAGAAACACUGGUGAGAAACAAAAACUGCACACAAACAAUAUCAUGGAGAUGCACCAAGGAUCAAAUCAAAAUCCAUUGACAAAAGUUAAAACACAAAGAAAAGGGGGUGAAAGACCUCAAUGAAACAAAAUAUUCAAGGAAAAAUUCUCAGUGAAAACAAGAAGCACCAAUAUGAUUGUACUGAAUUAUAGCAUAAACUCAUGUAUACCAACUCGUUAAAGAGUAAAAUAAACACACAUAAACAUAAACAAACAAAAGGAAAAAGUAAGCGAACACGCACACAAAUAGACAAUGCACUAAAUCAUCAACAAGUCUAAGAAAAAACAUAAGAUUAACAAGAGAGCCUCACAAUUUGGAGUUUUACAGUCUUCCCGUCUUGCUCCACUGUGCGAAUUUUCUACAUAACAGAAAACCAGACACAAUAUUAGGAUGAAAGGUUAAAACCAAAAUAAUGAUCAAUUGAAUCUACAACUUAGUUACUUACAAAGUCAACCCCAAUAGUGCUAAUGUAACUGUCCAGGUACGAAUCAUCCUGUAAAGGAUCGACAGAAACUAAAAUGUCAGCACAAAUAGGUAAAUACGAGUUAAACUCCAGAAAUCAAACUACAUUGCAUCAAGAUUCCUUGCUCAGAAACCAAACCAUUAGUUUCAACAUGUUGUAGUAAACAAUGCAAAACAUCCAACACAGCAACUGUUGUGUGAAAUCCACAAAAUACAAUUAAGAGAUAUAGAAAUAACACACAUAUUUAGUCUCCAUUAGCUUUACUGAGUAAAAUCAAAAAAUUGCACGAGUACAAAGCAAAGGAGAAUAUCAUUUUCAUCAAUCAAUCCACAAUAGUUAAAUCAAGUAUGAUCAUUGGUUUUUCUUUCUUCUUUUAGCAACAAAAAACGCAAAGAAACCAGAAAAAAUGCCAUAACCAUCACAUUUUGUCCAGUUCUCAUAAGAAAAAAUGGAAACCUUUUUUAGGAGAAGAAAGUCUCAGUUCAGGUACAAUGACAAUGUUGUCUGUAUCCUCUACAGAACCAGAAGAAGCAAAACAAGAAAACCUAAAAUCCUAAAAAUGGUUGGAAAAAUUUCGAAAAAGAAAGGGAAAAAGAUAAAACAUUCAUCAUACCAUGAUGAAGAAGCAACUACUGAGCAGUUGGCAAAGCAUAUUCAUGAAGUUUGAAGCAGGAGAAAAUGAUUACUAAUGCAAAUGAGGCAAAAAAUGAAAAGACGAGGUUUGGAAUUUUUUAAUCUUACAGCAAAUCUCAGAAGAAGACAUGAUUUGCCAACUCCAGAAUCUCCAAUCAGCAAAAGCUUGAACAAGUAGUCACUGCAAGAACAAAAUCAAAAUAAUUUAAUCUCCAUGACUAGUGCAUCAAGAAUUCUAACAUCUAUUCCUCUCAACCACAAUCAUUUCCCUACCAAACAAAAUAUUAAUUAAGCCGUACAAUAAGAUACCCAUUACACUUGUUUGAAUUCACCCCAGCUCGAUAUUCUUUAAAACAGACCAACAUAGUACAUAAAGUCAAACAAAUUCAUUGCAUCCAUAUGAAAAUUGCCCAUUCAUCAGAAAAAUCACCACAAAGCAUCAAUGAAUUCCCAACAAAUGCCAAGUUUGACCAAGUUAUCUACUAGGCCAUUAGCUUGUAAUUCAAUGGCAAUAAAUUCAGCAAAUUACAAAAACUGAGCUGAAUUAUGUCUAAUUACAGUAAAUUUACAUCUUAUUAAAGCGUUGAUUUAACGAGAAAUUGAAACCAUAAAACAAAUCCAAAGCAAACAGAAUACAAUUAUGAUACUCAAUACAUUACAUACAUACACAAUCCAUAAUCAGAAAACACAAAGCUAACAACUUUUUGGAACAAAAUAAUUGCAGAUCCACAGAAAUUACCACUUUUAGCAAAUACCCAUAAAAGAUCUUUGGUAAAAAAAACGGAAUUCAAAUAACAAAGCUAAAUGAAUAAAACGAAAUUAAGAGGUGUAAAGAUCUGGGGGGCUUACUAUUCAGGAUUCAUGACUGCAAUAAGAUGUUGAGGGGGUUCGCGCAGAAUCGAACCGGUCCAGCUGGAGAUUGGACCGGGAGUUUGGCACAGACAAGCUAAGGAUGUGAGAUU
This 49508-nucleotide long non-coding RNA is filed under the name Citrus sinensis (sweet orange). Its description in RNAcentral is "long non-coding RNA (CSIN_LNC003938)". The record is from RNAcentral. Lineage: Eukaryota; Viridiplantae; Streptophyta; Magnoliopsida; Sapindales; Rutaceae.